RNAcentral lists this long non-coding RNA (67436 nucleotides) under Phaseolus vulgaris (common bean). Its description in RNAcentral is "long non-coding RNA (PVUL_LNC000512)". Lineage: Eukaryota; Viridiplantae; Streptophyta; Magnoliopsida; Fabales; Fabaceae. The record is from RNAcentral.
UGCUUUCUCUUCUAAACACUUCAUCAACUCAUCACUUCCUUCCAUGGAAUUGGCGUCUUCAUCAUCAAAACUGCAAGAAUGUACGAUGUGCUCAUAAACUUUAAUGGAGAAGACAUCCAAAGGAAAUUUGUUUCUCAUCUCGAUUCUGCCCUCUCUGCUGUUGGCUUCACCACUUUCCUUCACCACCCCAAUGCAGACAACCCAAUCCACAUCCAACAACCUAUUCUCAAUCUCUCUCGUGUAGCAAUUGUUGUUUUCACCAAAUCCUAUUCUCAAUCUGCUUGGUAUCUUAAUCAGCUUCAACAAAUCAUCAAAUGGCACCAAACUUAUUGCCGACAUGUUCUGCCCGUAUAUUACGAAAUUCAGCCAUCUGAAGUACGUUUUCAGGAGGGUGAUUUUGGAAAGGCCUUCAAAACAACUGCACACCAAACAUUCUCAGGACAACAACUGGAGCAUGGCAUGUCUAGGUGGAGCCACGCACUCACCAAAGCUGCAAAUUUAUUUGGAUGGGAUGAGAGCAAUUACAGGUAAAUCACUCACUCAAUCACCAUAUUUUAAGCUUCUCAUUUCAUUUUGGUAAUGCAUGAAAUGACUUCUUCCAUAAUUGCUAUUGAACUUGAUGGAGUGAUGCUGAACUAGUGGACACAAUUGUUAAGACCGUUCUUAAUUUACCAGUCGUGUCUGCUACUAAGUUUCCAGUCGGAUUACAAUCCAACGUGGAAGAUAUGAUUCGAACUAUCAAAAAUAAAUCCACGGAAGUUUGUAGGAUAAUGAUAUGCGGAGAGGGAGGAUCUGGUAAAACCACCAUUGCCAAAGCCAUCUACCAUCAAAUUCAUGGUACAUUCACGGAGAGAAGUUUCAUUGAAGAUAUUGAAGAAGUUAGCGGAAUAAGAGGGGAUCUUCAUUUACAAGAACAACUUCUUUCAGAUGUCCUAAAAAGAAAGGUGCAGAUAGAUAGCGUUGAGAUGGGAAGAAGUAUGAUUCGGGAAAGACUUUCUGGGAAAAGGGUGCUCAUUGUACUUGACGAUGCGACUGAGUUUUUUGCAUUAUUCGACCUACGGGAAUGCCAUCAUUGGUUCAGUGUAGGAAGUGUAAUAAUCAUUACAACGAAAGAUAAAAACCUACGGAGUAUGCAUGAUGUUGAUUCUGUUUUUCGCAUAGAUCCAAUGAAGGCAAAGGAGUCCCUUGAGCUUCUUAGUUGGCACGCAUUUAGAGAAGCAAAACCAAAAGAAGAAUAUCAUUUCCUUGCAGAAAGAGUAGUUGCUUAUUGUGGAGGACUACCUCUUGCUCUUGAAGUCAUUGGAAGUAGUUUAUUUGAAAAGACUAGAGAAGAAUGGAAUAGUGUGUUUAUUAAAUUAAUGACAACUUCCAUGCAUGGUAUUCUACAUCAAUUGAAAAUAGGCUUUGACUCUUUACGCAAUGAAAGGGAAAAAAAUGUAUUCCUUGAUGUAUGUUGUUUCUUUGUUGGUAAAGACAGAGCUUAUGUUACGAAUAUACUAAGUGGGUGUGGAGUACACGCUGAGAGUGCAAUAAGAGUUCUGAUAGAGCGUAGCCUCAUACAAGUUAAAAAGAACAACAAAUUGGGAAUACAUCCUUUGCUACGAGAAAUGGGAAGAAAAAUUAUUAGUGAAAUUUCAAGAAAGGAAUCUGUGAAGAGCAGUCGAUGGUUCAUUGAUAAGGAUGCGGAAUAUGUAUUGACAGAUAAUAUAGUAAGAAAUUCUCUAUAUAUGGUUUUGAAAGUUCUUUUGGAAGUGUUUGCUUCCUCAUGUGCAAAACAUUCAUUUGGUUUACUUUGCUUCUUUCAUCACAGGGGACAGAAGCCAUUGAGGGAUUCAUUGUGAAACUGCGUUCCGCCAGAAGAGAUUGGAUCGAAGCAUAUCCUUUAGAGAUAAGAGACAUAUCAAAACUGUUGCAACUCGUUGGGUAUCGUUGUAAGCUCAAAAUACAUUGGAUAUAUAUACCUACGUGGAUUUGAGGGAUCGUCACAUAAUCUUUUUCCUACUAUCAUUCGGUCUUGGAUGACACCAACAAUGAAUAUAAUUGUUGGGUUUUUAGAAUAUUUCAGAGGAAGAUAUUUUAUUAUCUUUGCUAACAAUUACAUUUAUAGUAACUGCAGUAACAAACUCUUAACUAAUUUUAUGAGCAGUUACCUAGAAAUAUUAAAUCAACAAUUAAAACAGAAUAACAAACCGUUAAAAAAUCAUAAUUUCCAACACUCCUCCUUGAUUUUUUGAACUGCAACUUCCAAUCUUCUGUCUUGAGAACUCAAACUUGUUGGUUGGAAGUGGCUUGGUAAACAAAUCUGCAAUUUUUAUUUUUUUCAUCCUCGCUUUGCUUAAUCUCCAUUCAACACCUUUUGAUUUGACAUAAGGUGCAGAUUCUAAAAGACUUUUGUCAAAGCCUAAGCUGAUAAGAUAACAUUUGUCUUCUUUUCCUUCCACAAUGAGACCUUUAGGUUGCUCAACAGAAAUUUUCUCUUCAAGAAAUCCAUUUAGGAAUGUUGACUUGACAUCCAUUUGAUGCACCUUUCUAUCUCGAAGUAUGUUAACAAGUUCCCGAGUUUUGUUCUUCUCACUCAUAUAUACCUCUUCCUCCAUUGCCUUUGGGCCGUUGAUAACUUUUUUGUGAUCAACAGGUUCUUUGUGAUCCGCAGCUUCUUUGUGAUCCACAGGUUCACAUAUUGCAACGUUAUAUCUAUGAUAUAUGUCAGAGAGUAAUCGAUUGCCUUUAAUUGGUGGAUCGUCUUCUAUUUCAGAUUUUUGCAUCUUGAGAAGUCCUUGAUUAGACGGCUCCUCCUGAAAUAGAUCUAAUGAGAAAUUUUUGCCUUUCAUUUGUACCUUGAACAAAUCUUGUCCUGUAGCAUCCUUGAUCGAACAGUGGUUAUCUUCAAAAAACACCUUGAAGCCUUUUUGCAGCAACUGACCAACACUCAAUAAAUUUUGGUCUAUGUUAGGUACAUAUAACACAUCAGUAAUAGUUUUAGUACCUGAAUGUGUUGUUACAACAAUGGUUCCUAUUCCUUUUACUGAAAUGUGACCCCCAUGGCCUAUCUUGACCUUUGAAAUUUUUGAAGGCUUCAACUCCUUGAAAUUUUUUUUGUCAUAAGUCAUGUGAUUUGUGCUUCCACUAUCAAUUAACCACGAUGCACUUGAAAUAUUGUUGGAGAAUCCCCCUCCACAUUUGCAAAUUGAGCAUCUACGUCUUUUUGCUCACUUUGGUUUACAUCUUGUUGCUCACUUUGGUUUCUACAAAUGACUGCUUCAUGCCCAAGUUGAUUGCACUUGUUGCACUUCGCAUCAGGUCUUCUCCAACACUUAAACGGUGGAUGACCUAACUUGUUGCAAUGCUUACAAGGAGGGUAAUUUCUCCUUUUGUUGUUAUUGUGUGCAACAACUUCUCCAUUUUCUUGCUGGUUCUGCUUGAUCUGACUACCUUUGUUUCUCCAACCACCUUUAUGGUUGGCUGUUAAGGCUCCUUCUAUUGCUCCAUCUUGUCUCAUAGCUCUUCUUUGUUCUUGUGCUUGUAAAGCAUUUCAUAGCUCUGCAAGAGAAAUCUUUGAUAGGUCCUUUGUGUUCUCUAUGGUUGUUAUGGUGGCUUCAAACCUCUCUGGAAUCGUUACAAGCAGUUUUUCCACAAUUCUUCAAUCUUUUAAGACAGAUCCAAGCAAUCUCACUUUGUUGGCAAUGCUUAGAAGUCAGUCAAAAUACUCUUUUACGGUUUCUGACUCCUCCAUUCUCUGCAGUUCAAACUCCCUGAUUAGAUUCAGCACUUGCAUUCCACAAAUCCUCUCAUCACCUUCAUAUUCGGCCUUGAGGUAAUCCCAGAUUUCUUUUGCUGACUUCAAUGACAUUAUCCUUGUGAAUACCAUAGGAGAUACAACUGCAAAUAGACAUGUUUUUGCCUUUGUACUUUUCAUCUUUUGUUCCUUCUGUGAUUUCAUUUGUGCCACAGUAGGGUUUUCUGGAAGAGACUGAAUUUCCUCUUCUGCAGCUUCCCAUAAAUCCAAUGCUUCUAGGUAGGUCUCCAUACGAACAACCCACAUUUGAUAAUUGUCUCCAUUAAAGACAGGUGGUGCCAUUGCUGAAAAAUUGAAACCUCCUUCCAUUGAUGCAAUCUACUAACCUCACUGAUCCCUCAAGAAGAUAACUCUGAUACCAAUUGUAGGUUUUUGAGAAUAAUUCAGAGGAAGAUAUUUUAUUAUCUUUGUGAACAAUUACAUUUAUAGUAACUGCAGUAACAAACUCUUAACUAAUUUUAUGAGCAGUUACCUAGAAAUAUUAAAUCAACAAUUAAAACAGAAUAACAAACAGUUAAAAAAACAGAUUUUUCAACAGAAUCCCCCAUCUUAUUUUCAUUCGUUUUGCACGGAUAUGGAGGAUAAUAAUUGGGAUUAUAUUGCGCCAUUGCUUAGCACGCUUGCAAAUCUUUGAAGUGUUUUGGUGCAAUGUAACUCUGAGUUUCAACUAUCUAACCUCUACAAAAACUUGUGAAAUUUCGCCCUAAUAUCUGAAAUUUUAUUCUGGGUUCAUAUUGCGCUGAAAAAAUUCACACAACUACUUUCAUAUGUUGUUUGCACCCAGGUAAGGAGGCACGUCCAUAAACAAAUCACAAAAAGAAGAUACGGGGGAGAAAAGCCAGGACGUUUUGUUUUCCGAAAACCAGUUUUGUUCACUCUCGGUCUGGGACUUAGUACGCCUUAUUCCUUAGGUAUUUUGUUUUGAAAUUUUUACCAGAUGUUCGUCACUGUAUCUACUGAGUUUUGGCUGAGAUUUGAGCCCCAGUUUCGUUUCACGAGACUGUCAAUAAAUUAUUUUUGAUCACUGCCAUGGCUAAGAGGAUGGUUCGGUUGUGUGUGAAACUGUUUGAUUUUUUCACGGGUGAAUACUCAUCCGUUUGACCUGGAAUUUGUUGCAUUUUGUCCCAAAUUCAGUGGAGAUUCUUACGUGAAGUUUCAGAAAAAACUAAUUCCGAGAAUUUUUCAGAAAUUUCGUGCAAACCAAGGCUAUCCUCUACCAAAACCUGUGAAAUUUCGCCCAAGUAUUUGAAAUUUUAUUGUGGGUCCGUAUUGCGCUGAAAAAAUUCACACAAGUACUUUCAAAUGUUGUUUGCACCCAGGCAAGGAGGCACAUCCAUAAAGAAUUCACAAAAGGAAUAUACGGGGGAGAAAAGCAAGGACGUUUUGUUUUAGGAAAACCAGUUUUGUUCACUCUCGGUUUAGGACUUACUACGCCUUAUUUUUUGAGUAUUUUGGUCUGAAAUUUUUACCAGACGUUCAUCACUGUGUCUACAGAGUUUUGGCUGAGAUUUGAGCGCCAGAUUCGUUCCACGAGACUAUCAAUAAACUUUUUAUUCAUCAGUGCCAGAGCUGAGAGGAAGGUUCGUGUGUGUGUGAAACUGUUUGAUUUUUUUCGUGGGUGAAUACUUAUCCGUGUGACCUGAAAUUUGUCGCAUUUUGUCCCAAAUUCAUCGGAGAUUCUUACGUGGAAUUUGAGGAGAAAACUAUUUCAAGACAAUUUUUCAGAAAUUUCGUGCAAACCAAGGUUAUGCUCUACCAAAACUUGUGAAAUUUUGCCCAAGUAUCUGAAAUUUUAUGGUGGGUCCGUAUUGCGCUGAAAAAAUUCACACAAGUAAUUUCAAAUGUUGUUUGCACCCAGGCAAGGAGGCACGUCCAUAAAGAAUUCACAAAAGGAAUAUAUGGGGGAGAAAAGCAAGGCCGUUUUGUUUUCGGAAAACCAGUUUUGUUCACUCUCGGUUUGGGACUUACUACGCCUUAUUCCUUGAGUAUUUUGGUUUGAAAUUUUUACCAGACGUUCGUCACUGUGUCUACUGAGUUUUGGCUGAGAUUUGAGCCCCAGAUUCGUCCCACGAGACUAUCAAUAAACUUUUUAUUCAUCAGUGCCAGAGCUGAGAGGAAGGUUCCUUUGUGUCUGAAACUGUUUGAUUUUUUUCGUUGGUGAAUACUCAUCCGUUUGACCUAGAAUUUGUUGCAUUUGAUCCCAAAUUCAGUGGAGAUUCUUACAUGAAAUUUCAGAAAAAACUAUUUUCGGAGAAUUUUUCAUAAAUUUUGUGUAAACCAAUGUUAUACUCUACCAAAACUUGUGAAAUUUCUUCCUAGUAUCUGAAAUUUUAUUCUGGGUCCGUACUGCGCUGAAAAAAUUCACACAAGUACUUUCAAAUGUUGUUUGCACCCAGGCAAGGAGGCACGUCCAUAAAGAAAUCACAAAAAGAAUAUACGGGGGAGAAAAGCUAGGAUGUUUUUGUUUUCGGAAAAUCAAUUUUGUUCACUCUCGGCCUGGGACUUACUACGCCUUACUCCUUGGGAAUUUUGGUCUGAAAUUUUUACUAGACGUUCUUCACUGUGUCUACUGAAUUUUGGCUGAGAUUUGAGCCCCAGAUUCGUCCCACGAGACUAUCAAUAAAUUUUUUAUUCAUCAGUGUCAGAGCCUAGAGGAAGUUUCGUGUGUGUGUGAAACUGUUUGAUUUUUAUCGUGGGUGAAUAAUCAUCCGUGUGACCUUAAAUUUGUCGCAUUUUGUCCCAAAUGCAUCGGAGAUUCUUACGUGGAAUUUCAGGAAAAAACUAUUUCGAGAGAAUUUUUCAGAAAUUUUGUGCAAACCAAGGCUAUCCUCUACCAAAACUUGUGAAAUUUCGCCAAAGUAUCUGAAAUUUUAUUCUGGGUCCGUAUUGUGCUGAAAACAUUCACACAAGUACUUUCAAAUGUUCUUUGCACCCAGGCAAGGAGGCACGUCCAUAAAGAAAUCACAAAAAGAAUAUACGGGGGAGAAAAGCCAGGACGUUUUGUUUUCGGAAAACCAGUUUUGUCACUCUUUGUUUGGGACUUACUACGCCUUAUCCCUUGGGUAUUUUGGUUUGAAAUUUUUACCAGACGUUCGUCACUGUGUCUACUGAGUUUUGGCUGAGAUUUGAGCCCCAGAUUCGUUUCACGAGACUGUCAAUAAAUUGUUUUUGAUCACUGCCAUGGCUAAGAGGAAGGUUCGUUUGUGUGUGAAACUGUUUGAUUUUUUUCAUGGGUGAAUGCUCAUCCUUCUGCUGUUGCUGUUUUAAUUCUGAUGUAAUCAAAACAAUAUCUUGUUUUAUCUCUUAUCUUUGUCUAUUUGUGAAGACAAAUAGGGGGAGAUAUAUGCUGUGUUUCUAGUUUGUUUUAAGUUUCUGUUUUUCAGUUGAUAAAACAGUUUGGAAUAUGUAAUAUAUCUCUGAUAUUAGAUGUUUUAAGCUUUAAACUGUUUAUCUGUAUGCUAACAAAAUAUCAGAAGUUCAAUGUAUUGCUCAAAGUUCUAUUGCAGGAACUGCUUCAUUUAAUCAGGUACAACACAAGCAUCAGGGAUUUGUCUUCAUCAAAUAGGGGGAGAUUGUUGAACCAAGUGGUGUUCAAUGUUUUGAAGAAUCCAAAUCCUUUGAAGGAUGUUGAAGCAUCUGCUUUGCUUGAUGUUGCUGUGCUGGUUUAAGCUUUGUUCUGGGGUAGUUUAUAUGUUGUAAUCAACCCUUCGAUUAAAUCUCAAGCAAUUAGCAUCUCAAUCUUUAUGAAAAUAAAAUGUUUUUCAAACUAAGUUGAAACAACCAAUUGUUUUGUCGAAACAACCGAUUGUUUAUACUUAGGUGUUUUGAGAAAGAUUGAAAACUGUUUUUGAAUGGUUGAAACUGUUAAGUACCAAAACAACCGAUUGAUUCGAGGAAGCAACCGAUUGUUUGUUUUGGAAUCAUAAUAGAAAAACUGUUUUGUGUUUGAUUGAGCUUUAAAUGCUUUAACUGUAUAUGCUCUAGUCAUUAAAUGCUUUGACCAAUCUUUUAAUGCAAUUUAAGAGUUUGUUAAGAUUUGAUAACAAACUACAUCUUUGAAUAUAUUAAGAAAAACAUAUUUGAGAAUUAAGAAUCUUUGACAAAGUUUUUCUAAAGAGUUUUUCAAAGAGUUGAGAUUGCUAAGAGUUUGUGAUUGAUCAAGGUGCUGGAAUAGGAUUCUACUUGUAUUGAUUUCAGAUAUUCAUUUGUAACAAGUGUAAUCUUUGUACUCUGUUUAACAAUUUGUUUUUGUGCUUGCUGAGAUUGGCUAUGUGUUCUUGAGGUGUUCAAGAUCAGCAAUCUUAGUGUUGGCCAAGGAGAGUGUGUUUCUUGAGGUGUUCAAGGUCAUUCUCUUGGUUGAUUGUGUAAGUGAUCAAGGUGUGGUUGCUUAGUGGAUAUCCUCAGGAUUUCUGGAAGACUGGAUGUAGCUCUGGUUUGGAGUGAACCAGUAUAAACAACUGUGUACAAUCUCUCUAUCCCUAACUCUUUAAAUUCAGUUUAUUUGUUGUUUGCUGGUAUAAACAGCCGAUUGUUUCUACGAAACAACCAAUUGUUUUUCUGGUACUACAACUUUUGCUUGCUGUUUUGGCUAACUGAAUUGCUGAAUCAAUUGGUUUCUAAGAUAAAUUCAUUCUAGUGUUUGAAGAUUUUGCGAAAACCCUUUUAAACUAUUCACCCCCCUCUAGUUUAAAGCCAUCUUUUCUAACAACUAUUUCGAGACAAUUUUUCAAAAAUUUUGUGCAAACCAAGACUAUCCUGAUGAGAAUCAAAUAAAGGAGGCUUUUAUUAUUGAAGGAAGAGGUCAUUCACCUACACAUUUGAAGUUCUUCCUUCUAGUCUUCUCAAAAUUAAAAGAAGAUAUAAAAUAAAGAGAGGAUCAAGCCUAAAGCCAAAGAAGUCUACAGGCUUUCAAGAAUAGGCUUCAUUUAAAUAUCUCUCUUUAUAGUUUCUUUUGUAUAAAAUUGUAGAUAAUAUAGAAAAGUGUUUAGGAAGGUGCUUAUAGGAAAACCAUAGAUACCUCUUUUGUAAAGCAUCUUUAGGCUUUAGUUUAGAAUUUUCUAGAAGGUGACUCUUCAUAAGUCACUAUAGGCGUUAGCUUAGGAGACUUUUGGGUAGCUUGUGGUACAAGCUUUGUAAGCUUCAUGACCAGCCCUUGCUCCUAUAAAAGGAGGGCUUAGGUCCUUCAUAAUGCAAAUUUGGAAUUUGUAGUAUCAAAACUCUCCCAAAUUGGUGAUUGAGUGUAGUGAGAACUUGUCUUCUCCUCUUCCUAGUCUCAUCUUGAGUGCCUUGGUUCUCUCAAGUGGCGGCAUUGCACACUUAUCUUGGAGCAUUCACACUUCAAGUGGUGUGUUCAUCAACCAAGAACUACAACCACAUAAGUCCUCUUUCUUCUCCAUCUUCUCAUUCCAUUUCCGUGCCUAUUUGAAUUCCUAAACAUGUCUUAGGUUCCUUUCUUGCUUUCUAUUCGGUGUUCUUGCUUAUUUUCAUGUUUCAAUCGGUUCAUCUUCUUUCUCCUUGGAUUUGUUCUGUCCAUUUCAGUUUUGAAGCAUUUUAAUCGGUUCAUUUCAUUUGUUAUGCAAUUUAAUCGGUUCAUUUGCAUUUCUACAUCUUUUAAUCGGUUCAAUUGACAAGAAAUGGAACUUCCAUGUGAGUUUGGGUUUUGGUACUAGUUUUGGUGAGUUCUUCAUUAUAGAACAUUGAUCCAAUUCUAUUAAAAGUUCCUAUUCAAUCUCCAACUCAAGUUGAUUCCAUAGAAUGUCAAAGAAUCAUCUCUUCUUUGCUAUUGGAUUCAUAUCAUAUCCUCUACCAAAACUUGUGAAAUUUUGCCCUAGUAUAUGAAAUUUUAUUCUGGGUCCGUAUUGCGUUGAAAAAAUUCACACAUGUACUUUCAGAUGUUGUUUGCACCCAGGUAAGGAGGAACGUCCAUAAACAAAUCACCAAAAGAAUAUAAAGGGGAGAAAAGCCAGGACGAUUUGUUUCCGGAAAACUAGUUUUCUUCACUCUCGGUCUGGACUUACUACGCCUUACUCCUAGGGUAUUUUGUGAUGCAAAUUUUACCAGACAUUCGUCACUUUGUCUACUGAGUUUUGGCUGAGAUUUGAGCCCCAUAUUCGUCCCACGAGACUGUCAAUAAAUUUUUUAUUCAUCACUGUCAGAGCUGAGAGUGAGGUUCGUUUGUGUGUGAAACUGUUUGAUUUCUUUCAUGGGUGAAUACUCAUCCGUUUGACCUGAAAUUUGUCGCGUUUAGUCCCAAAUUCAGUGGACAUUCUUACAUGGAAUUUCAGGAAAAAACUAUUUCAGGAGAAUUUUUCAGAAAUUUUGUGCAAACCCAGGCUAUCCUCUUCCAAAACUUUUGAAAUUUCACCCUAGUAUCUGAAAUUUUAUUCUAGGUCCGUAUUGCGCUGAAAAAAUUCACACAAGUACUUUCAAAUAUUGUUUGCACCCUGGCAAGGGGGCACAUCCAUAAACAAAUCACAAAAAUAAUAUAUACGGGGGAGAAAAGGCAGGACGUUUUGUUUUCGGAAAACCAGUUUUGUUCACUCUCGUUCUAGGACUUACUACGCCUUACUCCUUGAGUAUUUUUGGUCUGAAAUGUUUACCAGACGUUCGUCACUGUGUCUACUGUGUUUUGGCUGAGAUUUGAGCCCCAGAUUCGUCCCACGAGAGUGUCAAUAAACAUUUUAUUCAUCACUGCCAGGGCCAAGAGGAAGGUUCGUUUGUGUGUGAAACUGUUUGAUUUUUUUCGUGGGAGAAUACUCAUCUGUUUGACCUGAAAUUUGUCGUGUUUUGUCCCAAAUUCAGUGGAGAUUCUUACGUGGAAUUUCAGAAAAAGUCUAUUUUAGGAGAAUUUUUCAGAAAUUUUGUGCAAACCCAGGUUAUCCUCUUCCAGAACUUUUGAAAUUUCGCCCUAGUAUCUGAAAUUUUAUUUUAGGUCCGUAUUGCGCUGAAAAAAUUCACACAAGUACUUUCAUAUGUUGUUUGCACCCAGAUAAGCAGGCUUGUCCAUAAACAAAUCACAAAAAGAAGAUACGGGGGAGAAACGACAGGACGAUUUGUUUUCGGAAAACCAGUUUCGUUCACUCUCGGUUUUGGACUUACUACGCCUUACUCCUUGGGUAUUUUGGUCUGAAAUUUUUAUCAGACCUUCGUCACUGUUUCUACUGAGAUUUCAGCCCUAGAUUCGUCCCAAGAGACUGUCAAUAAAUUUUUAUUCAUCACUGUCAGGGCUGAGAGGAAGGUUCGUUUGUGUGCAAAACUGUUUGAUUUUUUUCAUGGGUGAAUACUCAUCCGUUUGAUCUGAAAUUUGUUGCAUUUUGUCCCAAAUUCUGUGGAGAUUCUUACGUGAGAUUUCAGAAAAAAUUAUUUCCGGAGAAUUUUUCAAAAAUUUUGUGUAAACCAAGGCUUUAUACUCUACCAAAACUUGUGAAAUUUCGCCCCAGUAUCUGAAAUUUUAUUUUGGGUCCGUAUUGCGCUGAAAAAAUUCACACAAGUACUUUCAUAUGUUGUUUGCACCCAGGUAAGGAGGAACGUCCAUAAACAAAUCACCAAAAGAAUAUAAAGGGGAGAAAAGUCAGGACGAUUUGUUUUCGGAAAACCAGUUUUGUUCACUCUCGGUCAGGGACUUACUACGCCUUACUCCUAGAGUAUUUUGUGAUGAAAAUUUUACCAGACGUUCGUCACUGUGUCUACUGCGUUUUGGAUGAGAUUUGAGCCCCAGAUUCGUCACAUGAAACUGUCAAUAAAUUUUUUAUUCAUCACUGUUAGGGCUGAGAGGAAGGUUCGUUUGUGUGUGAAACUUUUUGAUUUUUAUUAGGGAUGGCAAAGCGGGGCGGGCCGUGCGGGCCGGCCCGCGGCCCGCAGGUAAAAAACGCGGUGCGGGUUAACCUUUUCAACCCGCUAACCCGCAUUAGCACGCCCCGCAUUAGCCCGCAACCCGUGCGGGCUGGCCUGCAAACCCGCAAGAAAAAAAAAUUGGCACUUAGUAGCAGCAGGGCAACGUAAUUAGGUUUUCACAAAAUUUCAAAGAAAGAAACACAACACAAUCGCGCUCACAUCUCACAGGGGCUCAGUUGCUGCUCCCAAACGGUCCACACACAAACGCUUUCGGCAACACCGCUGCGACUCCGCUUGCUCACGCCGCUACUGCUCCAUUGCGUCGCCUCUGAUCACUUCCGCACUGCACCAUUGCUGCAGCUACUGCCGCCACUCCUUCUCCACCACACAAGGCAAGUUUUUUUCUACAAAUUAAUUGGAGAUUUAUGUUUAUGUUGUUUGAAAUUUUGAUAUAAAUUGGGGAUUUAUGUUUAUUUGAUUUGAAAUUUUGAUAUAAAUUGGGGAUUUAUGUUUAUUUGAUUUGAAGUUUUGAUAGAAAUUGGGGAUUUAUGUUUAUUUGAUUUGAAGUUUUGAUAUAAAUUGGGAAUUUGUGUUUAUUUGUUUUGAAUUUUUUAUGUAAAUUGGGGAUUUGUGUUUAUUUUGUUUGAAAUUUUGAUAUAAAUUGGGGAUUUGUGUUUAUUUGUUUUGAAUUUUUUAUGUAAAUUGGGGAUUUGUGUUUAUUUUUUUUGAAAUUUUGAUAUAAAUUGGGUAUUUGGGUUUAUCUGCAUAUAAAUUAGGGAUUCUAUAUUUUCCAACAGGAUCUUAAUUUGCAAAUUGAUUGUAAUGGAUGAAGAAUGUAACAUGCCUCUUUGUGACUUUGAAGAUGAUAAUACUGAGAAACAAUCUGAAACUGUUGAACCUGAAAAAAAGAAAAGGGAUAAGACUAGCACAUCUGAUUGUUGGAGGUAUUUUACUAGGAUUAAGGAGGGAAAGGAUGGAAAAGAAAGGGCAAAGUGCAAUAGCUGCAACAAAAUAUAUAUAACUUGCGGAAGAAAAUAUGGGACUUCUCAUUUAAAUCGUCAUAUUAUGAAAUGUGUUAAAAGAAAAUCUGAAGAUGUGGGUCAAAUGAUUUUGGAUAUGCAGGGAAAGUUGAAGGCAAAAAAAAUAGAUCAAGUUGUACAUCGGGAAUUGUUGUCUAAUCUAGUUAUUAGCCACAAUUUGCCUUACAAAUUUGUUGAGUAUCCCGAACUUAGGACUUGGAUAAACUACUUGUGUCCUGAUGCAAUUAUGAUUUCUAGAAACACUGUUAAGGCUGAUAUUGGGAGAAUGUAUAUGAAAGAAAAAAUAAUGCUUAAGGAAUUGAUUGCUUCCAUUCCUAGUAGGAUAUGCUUAACUUCUGAUUUAUAGACAUCUAUUAAUACUGAGGGUUUCAUAUCAUUGACUGCACAUUUUGUUGACCUGAAUUGGAAGUUAAAUACCAAGCUACUAAACUUUUGUCAUAUGCCUCCCCCUCACAUAGGUUUUGAGUUGUCUAAGAAAAUUAAUGAAUUUUUACAAGAUUGGGGACUAGAGAAAAAAAAAUAUUUUUUUCCCCUCUGACUUUGGAUAAAUGCUUCCUGCUAAUGUCCAAAAUACUUUAAAAAGGCAACUUAUUUUUCAAAAUGGUUUGAUAUGUGGUGGUGAAUUCUUUCAUGUUCGUUGUUGUGCACACAUAUUGAAUUUAAUUGUUCAAGAAGGAUUAAAGGUGCUUGGUGAUGCUUUGGACCAAAUUAGAAAUAGCAUCAAGUAUGUGAGGGGUUCGGAAAGUAGAAUGGUGAAAUUUAAACAAUGCCUUGAAAGGUUUAGUGAUAUUGAUGCAUCAUCUGGGUUGUGUCUUGAUGUCCCUACAAGAUGGAACUCCACAUAUUUGAUGAUUAAUAGUGCUCUUAAAUAUCAACGUGUUUUUGGAAGCUUGCAUUUGGUUGAUGAAUCUUAUAAAUAUUGCCCUACAGAGGAAGAGUGGGAGAGAGCUAGAAAAAUUUGUGAGUUCUUGUUACCCUUUUAUGAAAUCACUAACUUGAUUUGUGCUACAAGUUAUCCUACUUCCAACUUGUAUUUUUUACAAGUUCGGAGAAUUCAGCGUUUAUUGAUGGAAAAUGUGAAGGAUGAAGAUGUACUAAUUAAGAACAUGGCUAAAUUGAUGAUAGUAAAGUUUGAGAAAUAUUGGGAUGAAUAAAGCGUUGUACUUGCAUUUGGUGCAAUUUUAGACCCAAGGAUGAAGUUAGAAACAUUGGGAUUUUGCUUUGAAAAAAUUGAAUCACUUACUUGGGAACUAAAAUUGAAAAAGAUCAAGGAAAAAUUAUACAAACUUUUUGCUGAAUAUUCUACCAAAGGUUUCACAACAUCAUCAAGUGUUCAAAAGCAAAGGCAAGGACAAUCUUCAUUCUCAUCAUCUAUGUCUAAACCAAGUCUUUUUGAUGUAAGUUAUUUACUUUAAUAAUACUUAUUAAUGCACUUUAAUUCAUUUUUAAUUUUUUUACAGCAAUCCAUUAUACUGACUUAUUACAUCAUUAUAGGAAUUAAAAAUGCGCAAGCUUCAAGUAGCUAAUAAAGCUGGAAGGUCACAACUUGACACUUAUUUGGAUGAACCAACUUUGGAUUUUGACUAUUCAGAGGAGAUGGAUGGGUUAGAUUGGUGGAAAAAUAAUAGUCAACGUUUUUCUGAUCUUGCUUUAAUGGCUAGAGAUUUGUUGAGCAUCCCUAUAACCACAGUUGCAUCAGAAUCUGCAUUUAGCAUUGGUUCUCGAAUUCUUAACAAGUAUAGGAAUCGACUUUUGCCUGAAAACUUGGAAGCAAUCAUUUGUACUUCUAGUUGGAAGCAUGGAUUUUCUGAAGGUAAUUCGAUUAUUUUAUUUUAUUUUAUUUUUAUUGUUUUUUUUUAUCAGCAAUAAGGAUUGAAUAACAGGAACCACUUAAGGGGUGGUUCAACCCUAUACAUACCUAUAUAAUAUGAAUCAAAUCUCAGGUCUCCCAAACCAAUAAGAUGAGAGAGACAAAAAAAUCUACCACUAAAAACCCGUUCAAACCCGUACAAACCCGUACAAUCCCGUACAAACUCAAAACAAACCCAAUACAAACUCACUGCAACCAUAACAAGGGCCAAAAAGAACAACAACCCUUAUCCACCAACCCAAUAGCCCACAAAAACCAACAACCAUCGAAAUAGAGAUACCUAUCACCCUAAACUGGGUCAUGCCAAUUAAAUCGAUUUCAAACACGAUAAAGGAACAAGACACCAGUCAGAAAAGGAGAAGCAAACAGAGGGUAUUUUAGAAGUUACCCAUGACCAAACCUUCAAUUGAGCCAAAAGUUAUCUUAUUUUUAUGAAAAAUUAAUUAAUUAAUUGUCAUUGUUUUAAUAUAUGCAGAUGACGGGGAAGAUUAUAAUUAUGAAAAAAUGGAUGAAAGUUCUUCUAAGGUGGCAUCCAAUGUUAUUGAGAUGGAAGAAUGUCAAUAAUGUUUAUGUUUAAUGUUUUUGAAUUAAUGUUUAUGUUUAAUGUUUUGGAAUUAGGUAUUUUUAAUGUUUUGGAAGUGGAAGAAUAGUGAUAUUUGAUAUUUAUUUUAAUGUUUAAUGUUUUGACGUUUGACUAUAUUUGAAAAGGAAGGAAAAAAAAUUAGGUUUGAUAAUAAUAAAUAUAUAGGUUUAAUUUGACAAUUUUUUAAGAACAAAAUGUAAAAAAAAAAGAACGCGGGCUGGCCAGCAAACCCGCGGGCUGGCCAGCAAACCCGCGGGCCUGCUCUUAUGCGGGGCGGGUCGGGAAUUCUAGCCCGCAAUAACUUUGCAGGGCGGGAAACCCGUCCCGCAUUUUUGUGGGCCAAGCGCGGGGCGGGCCAAUGCGGGGCGGGCUGGCCCGCUUUGCCAUCCCUAAUUUUUAUCAUGGGUGAAUACUCAUUCGUCGCACGAGACUGUCAAUAAAUUUCUUAUUCAUCAAUGCCAAGGCUGAGUAUAUGGUUCGUUUGUGUGUGAAACUGUUUCAUUUUUUUCGUGGGUGAAUACUCAUCCGUGUGACCUGAAAUUUGUCGUGUUUUGCCCCAAAUUCAUCGGAGAUUCUUACGUGGAAUUUCAGGAAAAAACUAUUUCGGGAUAAUUUUUCAGAAAUUUUGUGCAAACCAAGGCUAUCCUCUACCAAAACUUGUGAAAUUUCGCCCAAUAUCUGAAAUUUUAUUGUAGGUCCAUAUUGCGCUGAAAAAAUUCACACAAGUACUUUCAAAUAUUGUUUGCACCCUGGCAAGGGGGCACAUCCAUAAACAAAUCACAAAAAUAAUAUAUACGGGGGAGAAAAGGCAGGACGUUUUGUUUUCAGAAAACCAAUUUUGUUCACUCUCGGUUUGGGACUUACUACGCCUUACUCCUUGGCUAUUUUUGUUUGAAAUUUUUACCAGACGUUUGUCACUGUGUUUACUGAGUUUUGGCUGAGAUUUGACCCCCAGAUUCGUUCCACGAGACUGUUAAUAAAUUUUUAUUCAUCACUGUCAAGGCUGAGAGGAAGGUUCGUUUGAGUGUGAAACUGUGUUGAUUUUUUUUAUGGGUGAAUACUCAUCCGUUUGACUUGAAAUUUGUAGCAUUUUGUCCGAAAUUCAGUGGAGAUUCUUACGUGAAAUUUCAGAAAAAAGUAUUUCCGGAGAAUUUUUCAGAAAUUUUGUGUAAAACAAGGUUAUACUCUACCAAAACUUGUGAAAUUUCUCCCUAGUAUCUGAAAUUUUAUUUUCGGUCCGUAUUGCGCUGAAAAAAUUCACACAAGUAUUUUCAUACGUUCGUCACUAUGUCUUCUGAGUUUUGGCUGAGAUUUGAGCCUCAGAUUCGUCCCAUGAGACUGUCAAUAAAUUUUUUAUUCAUCAGUGCCAGAGCCUAGAGGAAGGUUCGUGUGUCUGUGAAACUGUUUGAUUUUUAUCGUGGGUGAAUACUCAUCUGUGUGACCUUAAAUUUGUCGCGUUUUGUCCCAAAUUCAUCGGAGAUUCUUACGUGGAAUUUUAGGAAAAAACUAUUUCGGGAGAAUUUUUCUGAAAUUUUAAAAUUUCGCCCUAGGAUCUGAAAAUUUAUUCUAGGUCCGUAUUGCGCUGAAAAAAUUCAUACAAGUACUUUCAUAUGUUGUUUGCACCCAGAUAAGCAGGCACGUCCAUAAAUAAAUCACAAAAAGAAGAUACGGGGGAGAAACGCCAGGACGAUUUGUUUUCGGAAAACAAGUUUUGAUCACUCUCGGAUUUGGACUUACUACGCCUUACUCCUUGGGUAUUUUGGUCUGAAAUUUUUACCAGACGUUCGUCACUAUAUCUACUGGGUUUUGGCUGAGAUUUCAGCCCCAGAUUCGUCCCAAGAGACAGUCAAUAAAUUUUUUAUUCAUCAUUGCCAGGGCUGAGAGUAAGGUUCGUUUGUGUGUGAAACUGUGUCAUAUUUUUCGUGGGUGAAUACUCAUCCGUUAGACCUGAAAUUUGUCGCGUUUUGUCUCAAAUUCAGGGGAGAUUCUUAUGUGGAAUUUAAGGAAAAAACUAUUUCGGAAUAAUUUUUCAUAAAUUUUGUGCUAACAAAGACUAUCCUUUACAAAACUUGUGAAAUUUCGCCCUAGUAUCUGAAAUUUUAUUAUAGGUCCCUAUUGCGCUGAAAAAAUUCGCACAAGUACUUUUAUAUGUUGUUUGCACCUACGUAAGCAUGCACAUCUAUAAACAAAUCACAAAAAGAAGAUACGGGGGAGAAAAGCCAGGACGUUUUGUUUUCGGAAAACCAGUUUUGUUCACUCUCGGUCUGGGACUUACUACGCCUUACUCCUUGGGAAUUUUAGUCUGAAAUUUUUACCAGACGUUCGUCACUGUGUCUACUGAGUUUUUGCUAAAAUUUGAGCCCCAGAUUCGUCCCACGAACCUGUCAAUAAAUUUUUUAUUCAUCACUGUCAGCGUUGAGAGGAAGGUUCGUUUGUGUGUGAAACUGUUUGAUCUUUUUCGUGGGUGAAUACUCAUCCGUUUGGCCUGAAAUUUGUCACAUAGUGUUCCAAAUUCAGCGGAGAAUCUUAUGUGGAAUUUCAGGAAAAAACUAUUUCAGGAGAAUUUUUCAGAAAUUUUGUGCAAACCAAGGCUAUCAUCCUCUACCAAAACUUGUGAAAUUUCGCCAUAGUAUCUGAAAUUUUAUUCUGGGUCCGAAUUGCGAUGAAAAAAUUGACACAAGUACUUUCAUAUGUUGUUUGGACCCAGGCAAGGAGGCAUGUGCAUAAAGAAAUCACAAAAAGAAUAUACGGGGGAGAAAAUCCAUGACGUUUUGUUUUCGGGAAACCAGUUUUGUUCACUCUCGGUAUAGGACUACUAGGCCUUACACCUUGGGUAUUUUGGUCACAAAUUUUUACCAGACUUUUGUCACUGUGUCUACUGAGUUUUUGCUUAGAAUUGAACCCCAGAUUCGUCCCACGAGACUGUCAAUAAAUUUUUUAUUCAUAACUGCCAGAGCUGAGAGGAAGGUUCGUUUGUGUGUGAAAUUGUUUGAUUUUUUACGUGGGUGAAUAUUCAUCCGUUUGACCUGAAAUUUGUCGCGUUUUGUCCCAAAUUAUGUGGAGAUUCUUACGUGGAAUUUAAGGAAAAAACUCUUACGGGAGAUUUUUUUUCAUAAAUUUUGUGCAAACCAAGUCUAUCCUCUACCAAAACUUCUUAAAUUUCUCCCUAGUAUUUGAAAUUUUAUUCUAGGUCCGUAAUCCGCAGAAAAAAUUCACACAAGUACUUUCAUAUGUUGUUUGCACCCAGGUAAGGAGGCACGUCAAAAAACAAAUCACAAAAAGAAGAUAAUGGGAGAAAAGCCAGGACGUUUUGUUUUUGGAAAACUAGUUUUGUUCACUCUCGGUCUCAGACUUACUACGCCUUACUCCUUGGGUAUUUUAGUGUGAAAUUUUGACGAGAUGUUCGUCACUGUAUCUACUGAGUUUUGGCUGAGAUUUGAGCCUUAGAUUCAUCCUACGAGACUGUCAAUAAAAUAUUUAUUCAUCCCAGUCAGGGCUGAGAAGAAGGUUCGUUUGUGUGUGAAACUGUUUGAUUUUUUUCGUGGGUGAAUACUCAUCCGUUUGACCUGAAAUUUGUCGCCUUUUGUCCCAAAUUCAGUGGAUAUUCUUAUGUGGAAUUUCAGGAAAAAAAUAUUUCGGGAGAAUUUUUCAUAAAUUUUGUGCAAACCUCUACAUAUAAACUUGUGAAAUUACGCCCUAGUAUCUGAAAUUUUAUUUUGGGUCCGUAUUGCGCUGAAAAAAUACACACAAGUACUUUCAUAUGUUGUUUUCACCCAGGCAAGGAGGCACGUCCAUAAAGAAAUCACAAAAAGAAUAUACGGGGGAGAAUAGCCAGGACGUUUUGUUUUCGGGAAACUAGUUUUUUUCACUCUCGGUCUGGGACUUAUUAUGCCUUACACCUUCAGUAUUUUGGUCAUAAAUUUUUACCAGACGUUCGUCAAUGUGUCUACUGAGUUUUGGCUGAGAUUUGAGCCCCAGAUUUUUCUCACGAGACUGUUAAUAAAUUUUUUAUUCAUCACUGCCAGGGCUGAGAGGAAUGUUCGUUUGUGUGUCAAAUUGUUUGGCUUUUUUCGUGGGUGAAUAUUCAUCCGUUUGACCUUAAAUUUGUCGCGUUUUGUCCCAAAUUUAGUGGAGAUUCUUACGUGGAAUUUCAGGAAAAAAGUAUUUCGCGAGAAGUUUUCAGAAUUUUUGUGCAAUUUCGCCCUAGUAUAUGAAAUUUUAUUCUAGGUCCGUAUUGCACUGAAAAAAUUUACACAAGUACUUUCAUAUGUUGUUUGCACCCAGGUAAGGAGGCACGUCCAAAAAAAAAUCACGAAAAGAAGAUACUGGGGUGAAAAGCCAGGAUGUUUUUGUUUAGGAAAACCAGUUUUGUUCACUCUCGGUCUCGGACAUACUACGCCUUACUCCUUGGGUAUUUUGGUUUGAAAUUUUUACGAGAUGUUCGUCACUGUGUUUACUGAGUUUUGGCUGAGAUUUGAGCACCAGAUUCAUCCAACGGGACUUACAAUAAAUAUUUUAUUCAUCACUGUCAGGGCUGAGAGGAAGGUUUGUUUGUAUGUGAAACUAUUUGAUUUUUUUCUUGGGUGAAUACUCAUCCGUUUGACCUGAAAUUUGUCGCCUUUUGUCCCAAAUUCAGUGGAGAUUCUUCUGUGGAAUUUCAGGAAAAAACUAUUUCCAGAGUAUUUUUCAGAAAUUUUGUGCAAACCAAGGCUAUCCUCUAAAUUUCGCCCUGGUAUCUAAAAUUUUAUUCUGGGUCCGUAUUGCGCUGAAAAUAUUCACACAAGUACUUUCAUAUGUUGUUUGCACCCAGGUAAGGAGGCACGUCCAUAAACAAAUCACAAAAAGAAGAUAAAGGGGAGAAAAGCCAGGACGUUUUGUUUUCGGAAAACCAGUUUUGUUCACUCUCGGUCUGGGACUACUACGCCUUACACAUUGGGUAUUUUGGUCAGAAAUUUUUACCAGACGUUCUUCAUUGUGUCUAAUGAGUUUUGGCUGAGAUUUGAGCCCCAUAUUCGUCCCACGAGACUGUCAAUAAAUUUUUAUUCAUCACUGCCAGGACUAAGAGGAAGGAUCGUUUGUGUGUGAAACUGUUUGAUUUUUUCGUGGGUGAAUUUUUUCUGGAAACUCUAUGUUUUGUUUAAGUGAUCUUUAUUCUGCUGCUUUACUGCUGAUGUUUUGGGGUUUUAGCUGCUACUUUGUUUAAGCAAAACAUAAGUUUUGUUUUACUGCUCUAACCUCUCCCAUAUAUGUUGUACUUUGCUUAAACUUUGCUUUGCAGGAACUGCUUCAGAUUCAAUCAAGUCCAACACAAGCAACCAGGGAUUUGUCUUCAUCAAUUAGGGGGAGAUUGUUGAAUCAAGUGUGUUCAAGCUUUGAAGAAUCCAAAUCGUAGUGUUUGAUGUAAAGCUGGAGGUGCUCUUUGAUGUUGUUGUGCUUUAGAAUAGGAUCUGGGGUAGAUUAUAUUUGUAAUCCACUCUUUGUUGAAUAUAAAGCUUAAGUGUUUUCAAAUCUUUUAAGUUUAAAGUGUUUUUCAAACUAAGUGAAAAACAACUUGUUUAGUCGAAACAACCGAUUGUUUUAUACUUAGGUGUUUUUGAAAUUGUUGAAAACUGUUUUGGAUGGUUGACUUGCUGUCAAACCAAAACAACCGAUUGAUUCGCUAUUUCAACUGAUUGUUUGUUUGAAAUCCUAACAAAAAUAGUUUUGUUAGUUAAAUGAGCUUUAAUUGAUUUUAUAACUGAAUACGCUCCUGCUUUAAAUGUUUUAACCAAGAUUUGAAUACUAUAAAUAGUUCGUUAAUGUUUUAUAACAAACAAGAAGAAAGAAAAACAAAUUUGAGUUUUUCAAAGAGCUUUUCAAAGAUUUGAGUUUUCACUUUGAGCUUUGGUUAUUCAAGAGAGAAGUGGAAUAUGAUUACUCUAUAUUGAUUUCAGUUGAUUCUGUAACAGUGUAAUUCGUUCUAAAGAGUUGUGUGCUCUUGAGGUUGUUAACAUCAACAUUCUUGGUGUGUGUGCUGAGCCAAAGGAAGUGUGUUUCUUGAGGGGAUCAAGGUCACUUCUUUGGUGGUGUGUGUAUGUAAUCUGGAUUUGAUUACCUAGUGGAUUCCCCAGUGGUUUCUAGGAAACUGGAUGUAGCUCUUGGGUUAAGAGUGAACCAGUAUAAACUGUUUGUGCAUUUCUCUCUUCCUUAAACUCUUUAAUUUCAUUUUUUGUUAUUUUUACUGGUAUAUACAACCGAUUGUUUUUCUGGUGCUUUACUGGUUUGAGCUUUGUUCUUGGCAAACUGAGUUCCUAAAUCUGGUUUCUUGCAAAGAAUUUCAUUCUAUCUUAAAAAGUUUGCGUAAACCUCCUUUAAACCAUUCCCCCCCCCCCCUUCUAGUUUAAAGCCAUACAUUCUAACACAAGGGAAGUGGAGUGAGUGAGGCCAACAAAAGAUGUACCUGAAUGUGCAACAAAAGUCGUGGAACUAGGGUUCUGAUCCUCAUACCAUUUAAGAAAUUCAUUGAAAAUAGCAGGUUGGCCUGAGGUAUCAAUUAAAGUAUGGUCCAUAGUAGAAGGUUGCACAGGGGCAGUUUGUGCAACCGCAACAGAUUUAGGAGGACGACCAUGUAAGGAAUAACAUCUGUUAAUUUUGUGGCCAAGUUUGCCACAAUGGUCACACUUGUGACGCCCUUUGCCCGGCUUGUGAGGGCGAGGACGAUCAUUAUGCUGAGAGACUAAAGCAGAAGAAUCAUCAACAUGAGACGUUAUAUCAGUGGUGUGUUUACCUGGCACACACAAAAGGGUAGAACAAGUGUAAGUAAAAUUGGGCACAAUAGGAGAUCCCAAAAUUUGAUCACGAACAUGAUAAUAAUCAUUAGGAAGGCCAUGUAAACCCAAUAACAUGAAGAACUUGGAUCUUUGUUCUAGUUCUUGAGAAGGAGUGGGAGCAUGAGGUAAUAACUCAUUAAAAUCAUGAAGAAAAGCAUGAAGUUUACCCAGAUAUUAUGCCAUUGUACCAUCAAGACAUUUGGAAGCAACAAUUGUGAGAAGAUUUUGACACACACCAUAAAGACGUUGAGUAUCAUUGGUGUAUAAUAAUUUUGCUUGUUCCCAAACUUCUGAACAUGUCUCAUAGGUACGAAAUAUUUGCUUUAAAGAUGAGUGAAUGGUAGAUUUUAUAACAGUGCAUAAUUGAGCAUAAAUUUUCAACCAACGGGAAACCUCAUUUUCAGCAACAGUAGGAUGGGAAAGAUGAUCAACAUAACCUUGACUCUUAAGCCAUAAUUUAAUAUCUGAUGCCAAAGUGUCAUAAUUGGUUCCAUCCAAUUUGUCAAUGGAGAGAUGAACAUUGAUGUAAUUAGUAUAAAUAGAUGGAUUCGGCAUAAUGACUGCGAAAGAAGCCACAGUGGUAGCGGCAGCGGAAGAAGCCAUAGUGGCAGCGGAAGCGGAAGAAGCCAUAGAGGAUAAGGACAAAUCAAGUCACUUGUUAAUUGGCGACAACAACAAAGAUGAAGGCUCUGGCAGCGUCUCUGGCGGAGGCUCCGGUGAGAUUCUGGCGGCGACUCUAGUGAGAUUCUAGCGACAGCUCCGGCAAGGUUCUGGCGAGGUUCCAGUAGCGGCUCUAGCGAGGUUUCGACGGCGACUCCGGCGAGGCGGUGGGGCAGUGGCUGGAAAAUUCCAAUGAAUAGUGGGUUCACCAAAAAUUGAACCCUAACCCUAUGCUUUGAUACCAUAUUAAAGGAAAAGAAAGAAUAGGGUAAAUCCCUUGUGUAUAUUGAACACAUAGGGUUAUGUUUAUAUAAGAAAAGAAACAUAUGGGUUAAGCCCAUUACAUAAAUAUGAAAUAUCUAACAAUAUCUAUAAUAUAUAAUAAUAUCUAAUUAUAUCUAAUAAUAUGUAAUAAUACCUAACAAUAAUAAAAAUUUAUGCAAUAAGUUUGAGUUAUUAGAAAAUUAAUAUAUUUCUCCUUUUUAAAAUUGUCUUACAAUCGUGCUAGAAUUGUCAGAAAUCCAACAAAUAUUUUUUGAAUUGGACACUUCACCGAUACGUGUCCCACAAGUGUCGUACGAGUCUCAGUGUCCAAUACAGGUGUCUGACAUGGACACACCAUUUAAGAGGAGUGUUUGAGCCUUAUAGGACACAACAGCAAGUUUGGUCUCCCAAACCUUGCAUACUACUUACUUCCUUUCCUCAACGACAAAUUUCCCCACCUUUACUAUUGAGACGGAUUUAAGUCGACCUUUUCAUUGGUUUUGUAUCUGUACAGAUCAUCUUUUUGACUAUGUUGCAUUAUUGUUUCUCUUCUUCUAACACUUCAUCAACUCAUCAAUUUCUUCUGUGGAAUCGUCAUCUUCAUGAUCAAAUCUGCCAUGGAUGUACGAUGUGCUCAUCAACUUUAAUGGAGAAGACAUCCAAAAGAAAUUUGUUUCUCAUCUCGAUUCUGCCCUCUUUGAUGUUGGCUUUACCACUUUCCUUCACUACCCCAAUGCACUCAACACAACGCACAUCCAACAACCUAUUCUCAAUCUCUCUUGUGUAACAAUUAUUGUUUUCAGGAAAUCCUAUAUUCAAUCUGCUUGGUGUCUUCAUCAAUUUCAACAAAUCAUUAAAUGGCACAAAACUUAUAGUCUACAUUAUUAAGGAAAUAAUGAUUAUCAAAUUAUACGCAAUUAACUUGAUAAUGAUAGAAUCUCACGAUUAUUGGAUCACAAAAUCCCAUGAUUAGUGGACUACCACAUAUGGAGUGUUGUAAAUACACACAAGAAUAUAAGAAAUUACCAUUUUCUUAUAUGGUAUCAGAGCAUCGAUCUUGGUGCUUUAAUAACCUCUCCAUUUUUAUCCGCUAAAUAAGAGAUCAUGUCUGAUAAGGAAGACACAGUAACGCCGCCAAGUCGGCUGCCAUGGAACCAACCAAUCCCUACUAUCUUCAUCAUUCGUACAAACCUGGACACAUGUUGGUGUUGACCAAAUUGAACGACACCGAUUAUCAAUCCUGGAAGACAACAAUGAUGCACACACUCACAGCGAAGAAGAAACCUAUUUAUAGUAGAAACAAUAAGUAAGAAAUGAAUUGAGUUAAAAAGGAUCAAGACUUUGAAUCUUAUACCACACCUGUUAUAUAUGUUAUCAUAAUUAUUAUUAAUGUUAGAAAACAGUGGACGAAACUUGAAGCCAAUUUCCUUGAGUGACCAAAGAAGCUUUAACCACCACACCAGACCAGUUCUUUUUGUCAUAUUAUGAUUUUUAUUAUACUUAUUAUUAUUAUUAAUAUCAUUUAUAUUAUUAAUAUUAUUCAUAAUAUAACUAUUAUUAAUAUUAUGAAUAUCAUUUAUAUUAUUAAUAUUAUAAACAUUAUAAAUAUAAUUAGUAUUAAUAGUAUUAUUAAAUUUAUUAUUAUUAUUAUUAAUAUUAAUAUUAAUAUUAUCAUUAAUAUUAGUAUUGUUAUUAUUAAUAUAAAUAAAAAUAUUAAUAUCAAUAUUAUCAUUAAUAUCAAUAUUAUUAUUAUUACAAUUAUUAAAAAUAUUUUUUAUGUAAUACUUUAUAUUUGGAUACAUGUAAUAUUCCCGUUUCAUACGCUUCAUGCAACACCUAAUUUUAUUUUUAGUUUUUUAAUGGGCUGCAACACAUAUGGUGGAAUUAGAAAAAAGGUGUUAAAAUUCUAAUUGAAUUUAGAUGGAGAUAAUCAAUAUGAAAUAUUAUUAUUGAUACCAAUACUUAUGUUAUUUUUUCAUUUUUUUUAAUUUUAAUAUUAUAAAUUUUUCUUUAAUUAAAUUAAAAGAAUAAUUAAACUAAAAUUACUUUUUUAAUUUAUUUAUAACAACGUAAUACAUCUUAAAAUUAUUUCAAUUCCAUGUAACCUUCUUUUAUAUUUUCAUUUUUAAUUUUUUUUUUAUUUUAGUUAGAACUAUAUGAAUCUAAAUGCUAUGUAAAAAUCCGUAUGUAAUGCUCACUUUACAUAUGGAUCUGGAUCCGUAUGUAAAAAUCGAUAUGUAACACUUACUUUACAUAUGAAUCUGGAUCCGUAUGUAGCUAACUUUACAUACAAAUUUGGAUUUGUAUGUAAAAAUCGGUAUGUAACAAUUACUUUACAUACAAAUCUGGAUCCGUAUGUAAAAAUCCGUACGUAACGCUGAUAAGUGCCAAUGUGUAGUUUUUAUGAUUGAGAAAAUUGAACACUUUGGAACUUAAUUGUUGCUUAAUGUAAGAAAAUUACCCUAAUCUGAGAAUUAUUGAAUCUGAUUAUAUAUUUCUUGAACCAAGAAACAAAUGAAGAAAUUUAAUCUCAAUUUUUGUGUAAAUUGCAGAUGAAUAUGAAGCAUUGAAAGAAUGUAUUCAAGCUGGCAUUGAAAGAAGAAAAAGUAAAAACUGAAUUGGAUCACAAGAAGAUUUAGCUCAAGCUAGAGGAUUUAGCUCAAGCUAAAACUGUCCAGAGUUGAUUAAAGGUGCAGUACAAUUUUAGCCCAGGCUAGAAUUGCUAGCUCAAGCUAAAACUGUCCAGAGCUGAUUAAAGGUGCAGUACUGAUCUAGCUCAGGCUAGAAUCGCUAGCUCAAGCUAAAAAUGCACCGAAAGAUCUAGCUCAAGCUAAAACAGGCUAGCUUGAGCUAAAGUUGAUUAUAUAAAUUCUGAAACAUAACUCAAAACCAGCGGUGGAAAACAGAUUAGGUUUUUUAGAGAGAGACUAGUGAGAGAAAGGGAAGAAACCUCUGUUCUUAGGAGAAGAACUUGCUCAGAUCAGCCCUUCUUAUGCAAUCCAGAUCAAGAAUGAAGAUUGGAGGAGCUGUCAUGAGUGGCUAAGUUCUUUCUAACUUGGGAUUGAAUGUAAUUUAUCUUGAUCAAAUGUAUUCUUGGUGAUAUAUAUAUAAAAUUCUCUUUUCUACUUGUUCUUGGUAUUUUCGUUUUAUGCUUAUUGCUUGAUUCUUUCUAAUCAAUAGAGUCUUGAUUUUGAUCCUUAAAUUUAACUGGAAAGUACCUUUAAGGAUCUGAAAUAGACGAAAAUGCUUGAUAACUUGUAAUGCUAGGAAUAGAUUCCAGGUUAUUGAUUGCAUGAUAAUUCUGUUCCUAAAGCUGGAUGAUUUGUUAAAUAUGUGAGGAAUGAAUGUUUAAGAAAUUAUCUUAUGAAUUUUAUCUGUGAGGAAUCAAGAUGAAUGACUUUAAAUUAAGCAUCAAGAAUAAGUAGUUUUGAGUAUUAUAUAUUGUAUUAUUCAAAAUACAGAUGAUUGAGAUAAACACAAUUCAAUCCCAAGUAUCUUUCUCUAUAUUUGAUAAGUUAGUUUGGUAUUUGGUUGAAUCAAACCCUAAAUCUUUGAGUUCUUGUGAAAUCUUUAAUUUGGUUAUGAACAAAGUCUCAAAAUUAUUUUCUAUACUUAAUGAGUUUUAAAACAGAACAUCUUAAUUAGAAUUGUUCCCUGUGGGUUCGACAUUCGUACUUUAAAGAGUACUAUAUUACAGUUGAUUCGGUACACUUGCCGAAGAAAUAAUCAACAAACGCUCACUUUACAUACGAAUUAUCCGUAUGUAAAAAUCCAUAUGUAAUGUUCACUUUACAUACGGAUUCAGAUCCUUUUCAGUAUGUAAAUAACAGUUAUGUAGUGUUAUACCCUAUAUAAUGGCGCUGAAAUCCUUUUCAAUGAAUUAAAUUGUGACAGUUAUGACUGACACUAUUUACAUAUAAAAAUCGGCAUUUUAAACAAAGUGUUAAAUUGGCGGGUGUUGCGGAAGGUAGCUUAAGACUGCCACAUUAAACUUUGUGGUGGCCAAUCCUAUGAUGGUUUGGGAAACCAUCACACGCGUAUAUUGUGGUGUUUAUAAACGCUAGUUUAUACGAAAAUAAUUGUCGCAUUAUACACCUUUUUUUGUAGUGAUUGUUUUAAGAAAAAGAAGUAUAAUAAAAAUAAAUUUGCAAUUUAAUUAUGUGAAAAAUUAUUAAAAUAACAUUAGUAAGAGUUGUUUUAUGGGUGUAAAAUAAAAUUUCGGCAAUGUUUCAGGAGAUAUAUAUCAGAGAGAAGCAACCUGAUUUAAUCUGAACACAUUAAUACCAUGUUAGAAUAAGCUCGAGAAAACAAUUUUUUUUAUGAAGUUUAGGAGAGAUGAAUAUUCAUUUCAAAUAAGACAGAAAAAGGGAGAAUCAAAACAAAAUAUGUCUUUUUUUUUAUAUAACCAUGCCUAAAGCAGUGCAACAUAAAAGUAUGCAGCAGAGCAAAAUGCAAAAACAGAAUGAGUCAUCAAUAUAAUAUACAUGUGUACCUACAAAAUAUGUUUUUUUGUUUCUUUAUUUUAAUUUAAAAUAAUAAUUUAAUUGUUAAAAAGUAACUGUAAAAUUUUAUUGUUUUUAAUAUGUAAAGGAUAAAAUUGAAAAAUUAAAUGUAUAUGCAAAAGAGGAAAAUUCUAUUGUUAUAGACUAAUAUUAAUAAUAUUAUUAUUAAGUUAAUAUGAUGGCUAGCAUGGGUUUUUUUGAAAAAUGGGUCUAUUGGAUCAAAGAAUACCUCAAAUAUGUUGAAGAUGAAUGAAGCUUAGUCUCUACCUAGCCUUAGUGUGUUUGAUGUAGAAUUUAGCUAGUUUGCUUUGAAGGUUGCAAUGUGUCUUAGAUGAUCUUGUACUUUAGGUUUGUGUAUGUUCAAGGUUGCUUUUUGCUACAUGACCCAUCCUAGAUGCCAAAUCAAGGUAGUAAGAUCAAGCACAUGAUGUGGUUAAAUGGUUUUGGAAAAGUUUUUUAAAGUUUUCUUAAAAGGUUUGACUCAGUACAAAAAUAAAUUUGUUUACUUGAGAAACAAUGGGUUUAUUUUUGCUCUAUUGAAAGAUUUUUCGAAAUUCAGUUAGGGCACCAAAGUUAAAGCUCAGUCUGUUAUUUCAGUUAAGGUGAGUUGGCAGUUUUGUUAACAUUUAACCUGUUGUUUUUAGAAUAAAUCUGUUGUUUUUAAAACUGCUUUGAAACUGCUUUUUGAAAAGUGGUUAGAAACUGUUCUCUAUAAAAUAAAAUGCCCUUCUCACAUAAAGAGAGCUGAGCAAUCACAGUUUUAACAGAGAUAAAACACUUCUUGUGUGAGAAAGAGAAUUGAAAAGGUUUUGCAAAGGUUUUUUAGUAGGAAAAUAGAUGUGUGCUUGUUCUUGAAGAACCUUGUGCUGGAUGAAGGUGUUGGUACUGUCUUGAAGCAAAUAGAACAACUGGUAUAUGUUCUUGCAUCACUUUUCAAGUGUAAUCUUUCCGUUAUUCGUUCUUGUAAUAGGUGUAAGUGUUAGUCACUCUUGAUAAGAUUUCUUGGAGUGCAAGGUGUGCUGAAAUAGUGUUUUUCAGCCUUGUUUGUUGAAGUUCUUGUAGGGUUCAAGAACUGUUGUGUAUGCUGUAAUUGAUUGUAUCUGUUUUAGUGGAUUCCACCUUGGAGUAAGGUGAACUGGACGUAGCUCUUGAUGAGUGAACCAGUAUAAAAAUUCUCUUGUGUUUCUCUUCUCAUCCCUGCACUUAUUUAUGAGUUUUCACAUAAUUUGUCAAGAAAGGAAUCUGUUCUUUUAAAUCUAAAUUUGUUAACUCUAGACCUGAUAAAAUCUGUCAUUCUAACUUGUUAAUCAAUCUUCUAAACAUAAAUCAAGCUACUGUGUGAAUCUGUAAUAUGGCUAAAGUGUGAAUUGUUUUCCUUGACUGAACUGUGGCAUUUGUUCAUUCUCCUAGAUGCUUUGUGUUAAGUAAAAUUGAUUAAUCUUGUGAUAUAAUCUGCAAUUUGUAAGUUGUAAAAGUUAAUCAAUUUGUUUCUGCUAUUCUUGCUGGUUGAUCUAAAUCUUGUUGAUCAAGUUCUGUUUGUGCUAAAGUCAUUUGGAAAAUCAAUCUGUUUCAUUUAAAAUCAAUCUGUUCUUUUCAUCUCUGUCACACUGUAAAUCAGUUUCUUUUGCGAAAAUUUGAUAAGCUCAAUUCACCCCUCCCCUCUUGAACUUAGACGUUGUUUAACUCUAACAGAAUCUUCUUCUAUCUUUGUUUUAGUUAAUGAAAGUCCAUCUAAGUAAUUCAAACCGUCUAGAGGUCUAAGACAAGGGGAUCCAAUUGCACCGUUCUUAUUCAUAAUUGUGGCCGAAGGCCUAUCAAGUUUAUUAAAUCAAGGGCUACAAAGGAAGUGUUUUCUGAAUUAAAAGUCAGUGCAAAAAAUAUAGAGGUGAAAUUACUUCCUUUUGCAAAUGACACUUUGAUCAUGUGUAAAUCUAAUAUCCAAAAUAUUAGUGGUAUUAAAGGGAUCCUUAAAUGUUUUGAAAUUUGCUCAGGGCUUAGAAUAAACUUCUUUAAGAGAAAAAUUGGAGUUAUAGGAGUGGACAAAAAUGUGUUAGGAUCUUUCUUUGAGGUUCUCCAUUGCAACAUUAUGAAUAUUCCUUUUUUAUAUCUUAGUUUACCUAUUGGGGGAAAUUCUACUAAGGUUUCUUUUUGUGACCCAGUGCUUACAAAGGUUAAGAAGAGGCUAUCUAUGUGGAAAGGUAAAAAUCUAUCAUUUGCAGGUCGUGUGUGCUUCAUUCAUUUUGUGUUGAAUGCAACCCCUUGUAUUAUCUCUCUUUCUUCAAAGCUCCAUCAUCUAUAUGCAAAAAGAUUACAAAGUUACAACGUAAGUUCUUGUGGGGCUGGGAUAUUGAGGGAAGGAAAAUUGCUUGGAUUAAAUGGGAUAAUUUAUGUAAACCUAAAGCGAAAGGUGGGUUAGGCAUAAAGCAGAUAGACAUUUUCAACAAAGCUUUACUUGGCAAAUGGAAAUGGAGACUUGGGUCUCUUGAGAACUGUUUAUGGAAAGAUAUUCUUGCUUCUAAAUAUGGUUCUUGGAGAAAUUUAUCUGAAUCUAAAGUUUCAAAGCAUGCUUCAAGAUGGUGGUUCCAUUUAAACAAAGUGUGUGAGGAUGAGCAGGGCAUCAAUUGGUUUGAUUCUAAUAUGGAAUGGGCGGUUGGGUCUAGUGAAAAAGUUAAGUUGUGGGAAGAUGUUUGUGUUUAUAUUGUUUGGGUUUAUAACUGUCAAUUGAAAGCUAGAUUCCCAAGGUUGUUUAAUAACUCUCUCAUCAUAGAUAAUUCCUUGUGUCGCUUUGGUAAUUGGAACAGAGACAACUGGGUUGAGAAUUAAAGUGGAGAAGAGAGUGGUUUAAAUGGGAGAAGGUCCAAGUAGAUGAAUUUAUGACUAUGCUAGAAGGUCAGACCUUGAAAAUAGGUAAGGAGGAUAAAUGGUUAUGGAGAGACCCGCAAACCUGUAAGUACUCUGUCAAAUCUGCAUAUGCAUUCGUUUCUAAUCCUAUCCCAAGUGCAUCUAAGGAUAUGUAUAGGGUUAUGUGGGGCUUGUUAGUCUCACCAUCGGCCCAAUGUUUUGUUUGGAGAGCAUUGCAAAACAGGAUCACCAAAAAGCAAAAUCUGAUUAGAAGGUCGGUCCACCUUGCGGAUUCAUUAUGUGUUUUAUGUGGGAUCGAGGAGGAAAUGUCCUCACACCUUUUCUUAAGUUGUCAGAUUGCGAGCGUUGUUUGGAAUUGCUGUAGUAAAUGGAUUGGGGUUAGAUCUGUAAAUCAUUUUGCUCUGAAGGAACACUUUGAACAAUUUCAUUGCCCUUAGCUUAGCAAAGAAGGCAAUAAGUUGUGGAAAUGAGUGUGGGUAUCUAUCAUCUGGUGCAUUUGGAAACAUAGGAAUGAGAUUGUGUUUAACCAAGCAAAAGUGGAUGCGGGUGAAAUCUUUGGCCUGACCCAAAUGCAAUUGUGGGCUUGGUUAAAAAUACAAGACUUCAAUGACGCUUUUUUCUUUUUCCGACUGGGUCCAAUGUCCGAAUACUUGCAUUAAUAUAACAGUAAAACGUUGAUUUUGUGAGGAUAGAGAGGUUGUAUGUAUUGAUUGGUUUUUGUUCCUUUUUUAGGAUGUUUUGAGAGUAUGUAAUGUACCCUUAAAGUGUAUAAGGGUUGGAGCACCCCUUUGUGCUCCUUUUCUAUUAAUUUAUUUUUUUGCCAAUUAAAAAAAAAGUUUACAAAGGAUGUUAACCAUAUUAAUUAAUUCAAUUCGUCUGCCUAUAUAUUACGCAUAUCUAUAUGAGUACUUAAGAGUGAAAUAUUAAAUAAAUUUAUUUUCCCUUCCACUCAUUCUCUUUCUUAUUAAUAUAUUACUCUAUAAAUAGGUUGAUAUUUCUUAUGUAUAGUGUUCUUUGCACACACAUUCCAACUAAGAGUACCUCCUGAUAGAAGGCAUGAAGAUCUCAUCUACGCUUUGAAAAGAAAGAUUAUAUAAGAUAAUCUCCACUCGUGUAAGAAAGAAAAGUACAAUGUAUUUUUUUAGUUCUUGCAAAUAUAAUACUUUUGUUAUACAUGUCAAUUUUUAUUUUAAAUCCAACCACAUUAGUUUCAUGUUAUUAUCCCCAGUCACUUCAAAAAAAUUAACAGAAGCUAAAAACAACUUUUUAAAAGUACAGAACUAAGAUAAGAAUAAAAGUGCAUGGAUCAAAAAUAAAAAUAUAGUUAAGAGGGAAAAUAUUUAACCGUGACAAAGGUUUUAAAAAGAGGUGACAAGAUGCAUUAGAGAAGUAGAAUAAAACUUUCACUUAUUUUUUACGCCAUGAUUAAAUUAGUAAAUAAAAAAUUGAUUAAAUUGUUGAAAGUUAUAUAACUUUUAACGUUUUUCAUGAGUUUAGACAUGCUAAACUAGAAAUGUAGAAUUCAAAAUCAAUAUAAAUAAAAGAAAAAGAAAAUAUUUGCUUAAUGAUUUUAACAAAAUGACAUUGAAAUAAUGUUAUAAACUGAUUAUAGAUAAACUGAAUGUUUUUCUAAACUGUGUUUAUACCUACAUUAACCUGUUUUAGAUAUACAUGUGUAAUGUGAAAGAUGAUAAUGUUAUAAGCUUUUAAAACUUUAAGCGAUAUUUGCAUUAUCUCUUCCACGACCACUAAAAAAGUACUUUUAUUAUUGUGUCUGUAGAGAUCAUCUCUUUGACUGUGUUGCAUUAUUGCUUUCUCUUCUAAACACUUCAUCAACUCCUUCCAUGGAAUUGGCGUCUUCAUCAACCAAACUCUCAAAGAUGUACGACGUGCUCAUCAACUUCAAUGGAGAAGACAUCCAAAGGAAAUUUGUGUCUCAUCUCGAUUCUGCCCUCUCUGCUGUUGGCUUCACCACUUUCCUUCACCACCCCAAUGCACACAACCCAAUUCACUUCCAACAACCUAUUCUCAAUCUCUCUCGUGUAGCAAUUGUUGUUUUCACCACAACCUAUUCUCAAUCUGCUUGGUGUCUUCAUCAGCUUCAACAAAUCAUCAAAUGGCACCAAACUUAUUGCCGACAUGUUCUGCCUGUUUAUUACGAAAUCCAGUCAUCUGAUGUACGUCUUCAGAUGGGUGAUUUUGGAAAAGCCUUCAAAGCCACUGCACAACAAACAUUCUCACCACAACAACUGGAGCAUGGCAUGUCCAGAUGGAGCCACGCACUCACCAAAACUGCAAAUUUCUUUGGAUGGGAUGAGAGCAAUUACAGGUAAAUCACUCACUUACUAAGCUUGUACUUCAAUUUUGGUAAUACAUGACUUGUUCAAUAAUUGUUAUUGACUUUGAAGGAGUGAUGCUGAACUAGUGGACAAAAUUGUUAAGACCGUUCUUCAUUUACCAAUCUUGUCUGCUACAAAAUUUCCAGUUGGAUUAGAAUCCCGUGUGGAGGAUGUGAUUCGAACCAUAAAAAGUAAAUCCACCCAAGUUUUUACUAUAGCGAUAUGUGGAAUGGAAGGAUCGGGUAGAACCACUCUUGCCAAAGCCAUCUACAAUCAAAUUCAUGGUACAUUCACGGAGAAAAGUUUCAUCGAAGAUAUUGCACAAGUUAGUCAAACAAGAGGGUAUGUUCCUUUACAAGAACAAUUUCUUUCAGAUGUACUAAAAACAAAGGUGGAGAUAAGUGACGUUCAGAUGGGAAAAAGUAUGAUUUGGGAAAGACUAUAUGGGAAAAGGGUGCUUCUUGUACUUGACGAUUUGAAUGACUAUGGCCAAUUAGGCCUCUGGGGAACUAGUUCAUGGUUCGGUGAAGGAACUGUAAUAAUCAUUACAGCGAGAGAUGAAGUAGACCUGCCGAGUAUGCUUGAAGUUGAUUCUGUUUUUCAGAUGAUUCCAAUGAACGCAAACGAGUCCCUUGAGCUUCUUAGUUGGCACGCAUUUAGAGAACCAAAACCAAAAAAAGAAUACCGUGUACUUGCAAAAAGAGUAGUUGCUUAUUGUGGAACACUACCUCUAGCUCUCGAAGUCAUUGGAACUUAUUUAUACAAAAGGACGAAAGAUGAAUGGAAUAGAGUAUUGAUAAGAUUAGACAAUAUUCCCCAGCAUGAAGUUCCACAGAUAUUGAAAAUAAGUUUUGACGGUUUAGCUAAUCAAAUAGAAAAAGAUUUAUUCCUUGAUGUAUGUUGUUUCUUUGUUGGUAAAAGCAGAGCCUAUGUUACCAAGAUCCUAAAUGGCUGUGGAGUAGACUCUGAUAGUGGAAUAAGAGUUCUCAUAAAGCGUAACCUCAUCAAAGUUAAAGAAAACAACAAAUUUGGAAUGCAUCAUUUGCUACGAGAAAUGGGAAGAGAAAUUAUUAGUGAAAUUUCAAGAAAGGAAUCUGGGAAGAACAGUCGACUGUGGCCUCAUGAGGAUCUAAAACAUGAAUUUUCAGUGAAUACUGUAAGAGCAUUCUUAAUCUAUGAUUUUGAAACUUCUUUUGGAAGUGGUUGAUUUCUCAUGUGCAAUACCAAUGUUUUUCUUAGCUCUUUUCAUCACCGGGUAAAAAAGUCAUUCAGAGAUUGUCUAGCGGAAGAGAUUUCUUCGAAACUUAUCCUGUAGAGGUAAGAGACCCAUCACCGGAUACAAAAGUCUUCGAACUCCCUGGACUGCUGAAACUCCCUUGGAAAUUCGAACCACAUUCUAAAAUUACCUACCUUAACGCUUGACUUUUAUNNNNNNNNNNNNNNNNNNNNNNNNNNNNNNNNNNNNNNNNNNNNNNNNNNNNNNNNNNNNNNNNNNNNNNNNNNNNNNNNNNNNNNNNNNNNNNNNNNNNNNNNNNNNNNNNNNNNNNNNNNNNNNNNNNNNNNNNNNNNNNNNNNNNNNNNNNNNNNNNNNNNNNNNNNNNNNNNNNNNNNNNNNNNNNNNNNNNNNNNNNNNNNNNNNNNNNNNNNNNNNNNNNNNNNNNNNNNNNNNNNNNNNNNNNNNNNNNNNNNNNNNNNNNNNNNNNNNNNNNNNNNNNNNNNNNNNNNNNNNNNNNNCACCAAUCUAUUGGAUGUCUCUGCAAUCUUAUACUGCUAAAUUUGAAGGACUGUACAAGUCUAAGCACUCUCCCCAGAGAGAUAUGUAAGUUGAAAUCUUUGAAAACUCUCAUUAUAUCUGGUUGUUGGAAAAUUGACCUAUUGGAAAAAGAUAUAGUGCAAUUGGAAUCCUUGAGAAUUCUAAUUUCUGAAAAUACAGAUGUGAAACAAGUGCCUUUUUCAAUUGUAAGCUCAAAAAGCUUUGCAUAUUUAUUCCUACCUGCAUUUGAGGGAUUAUCACAUAAUCUUUUUCCUUCUGUGAUUCGGUCUCUGAUGUCGCCAACAAUGAAUCCCUUAUCUUAUAUUCAUUCCUUCAUGGAUAUGGAGGAUAAUAGUUGGGAUGAUAUUUCACCAUUGCUCAGCAGCCUUGCAAAUCUUCGAAGUGUUUUGGUGCAAUGUGACGCCAAGUUUGAACUAUAUGAGCAAGUAAAAACUAUAUUGGUCGAAUAUGAUGCAAAUAUUACAGAAUCAGGAAUUUCAAAGAAUAAUUUCAGGUCUUCUCUGACUGGUGUUGGAAGAUACAAAGAAUUCUUCAAUACUGUCAGCGAUAGCAUACCUAAGGUUCUUCUCUAGCUUUCCCUUUGUUUAUUACCUUCACCAUCAUUUUAGCUAUUAUUUCUGAGAACAUAAAAUAGUCCUAAUGAAGUAUUAGUAGAAACUACACUACUGAACUUUAAGCACCUUUCGCUUCUAUAGCCCCACGACUUCAUCUAAAAGUAUCUGAGUUGAAUAAUCAAAUAACCAAGUCAUUAUGCUUAUCCUAAGUACAUGCAAAUUGAUUUCCACUUACUAGUUUACUUCAUGGGUUUUUUAUUCCCAAUGAUCGUAUAAAUAUAAACUAAGAGAGACAAAAAUAGAAAUGCAAAAUGAUGGUGAUAUAUACACAACAAAACUAUAAACCAAAUUUGUUUCGAUCAUGUAACUAAACAUGCCCUUGUUUGUCCCAUGAUACAGGUAUUUGCAAGCAGUGAGUCAUGUGAUGUUUCUCUCCCAGGUGACAACGAUCCUUAUUGGUUGGCCUAUAUGGGUGAUGGACAUUCUGUUUAUUUCACUGUGCCUCAAGAUCGUGUGGUGAAGGGAAUGGCUUUGUGUGUUGUUUAUUUAUCAACCUCCGAAAUCAUUGAACCUGAACUUACUACUGUCUUAAUUGUUAAUUACACGAAGUGCACAUGCCAAAUACACAACCAUGGGACAGUAAUUUCCUUUAAUGAUGAAGAUUGGCCUAAUAUAAUGUCAAAUUUAGGAUCAGGAGAUAAAGUGGAGAUUUUUGUGAGUUUUGGUGAUGGAUUGGUGGUCAAGAACACAGCUGUCUAUUUGAUAUGUGGUGAAUCAAAUGAGUUAGAAAAGGAGGCUGUGCCAAAGAAAAAAUCGCUCCUUAAAUUCAUAAAGAGAACUCUAAUGUGAGUUCUAGUAAGUCAUUUAUAUUUGAGAACUUUGAGUUAUGGAAUUAAUCCUUGUGUCCUUCAUUGCAAUUUAUUUUUUCUGAUCUGUCCUUGUUUUUCUUUGAGUAUAGCUCAUAGUUACGAGAUUCAUAUUUAUUUUACCCUGUUUCUCACUCCUCACAUUGUUUACUUGAACUGUUUAUUGUAUUUGCUUUGUUGUUGUUACUUUUUGUCAAUUCUAUUCCCUUCUUAGCAUAUAAUAUUGCAUUCAGAAAAUCUCGUAAAAAAUAUUGCAUUAUGAAAUAAAGAUAGCUGCGGUUCGAUAAUUUGUUAUGUGUUUUGCCUUGCUAUAUGCUAUGCAGUCUCUGUUUUUGUUUCAACAUAAGAAGCACCGUAGCCUCAUCCCUUUAUUUUAAGACUAAAACAAAGUUUGAUUUCAUUUCUCCUUAUUUACACUGAUUAUAUUUUUUUAUGUCUAAUUUAAAAAUAUUUAAAUUUUUUCAAUUUACAUUUAUAAGUUUCAUUACAGUUUUCAGUUAUGUAAAGUCACCAAAUUAUUUUAAAUUUUAAAUUUUCAACUAAUUUUUUUCAAAUAUAGUCAUGAUCUUUCAAAAUAUUUUAAUCUGUUAUAAAUUGUUUUAAAAUUAAUUCUUAUAAAUUAAUAUUCAUUUGAUAUGUGCAAAUAUAAUCUUUAAAAAAUUCAAAAAAUAACCAUGUAGACAAAUACCGCUAAUAGUUAAAAAAAAUUCAAAUGUGUACUUUUUAUUGACAAUUAGUUUAGGCUUUUAUGUUUCAAAUAUAAAGUUAAAUGUUCAACUGUAUUACAAAACAAAAAGAUAUUCAUACAAAAUCUCCAUUCUAUGAUCCUCACCAGAAAAAAGCAUUGAAAGAUAUGAUAGCACUUGAUCCACCAUGAUGAUAGCACUUGAUCCACCAACACCAAUCCUGCUACAAUGUUCAUACCUUCACUGCUACAAUGUAGUAGGCACGUACCUGCAUCAAACCACCCCUCUCAACCUUAAACUGUAUAACUUACCAUAAUUCUCCUUUCCUUCAUAAUCCAAUAAACCAUUUCCCAUUAUAUUUCACAACACAUAUUAAUAACAUAUCCGUACUAGUCAAACAACUCUUCACUUCAAAAAUAAAUAAAUGACAUAUUGUCUCAUCAUCCUCCCCACGCAUAGUUCCAAAACUCACCAUGUUGUGGUAUAUGAUGAAGAGAGUGCCUUAAUCCUCUAAAAAUUCUCGUACAUGGACAUGCCUUCCCCCUUCUACUUCGCCCUUUAAGAUUCUAUAUGCUGAUUUAAUCGUAUAAUUUGAUGUUUCUCCUUCCUUCCUUACCCACUUAUCGUCUUUUUCCAUGUUUAAACUUGUGUCUUCCAAAACAUGUGCGAAUUGAUGCGCUUGGUUAUUUUCCCACUCAAAUAAAUUCCUUCUCCAUUCUAACUUCUAUAACCAAUUGUUAUUAUUCCACUCCCUAACCUAAUACAACUUAAAAUCUCUGUUUGUGCUUAAACAAAAUAAUCUCAGAGAACUUAUUUUUUAGUUCUUCAUUAUCCGCUCAUUUAUCUUCCCAAGAACUAAUCUCCAUCCCAUUUCCUGCCUCCCAAGUUACAAUAUCAUCAAAUUUACUUUCCCAUGAAGCCCAUGCUAUUUUCCUACCCUCCGAACAUCAAUCCCAUAAAAAUUUUCUUUGCAAUUUCACUAUCUCCUUUGUCACCAUUAUUGGCAUUUUAUAUAAAGAUAAAUGAAAUAGAGGGAGAGAUGAAAGCACUGAUUUAAUUAAGCAUAUCCUACCUGCCGUAGAUACAAAUUUAUCAUUCCAUCUACCUAAUCUAUUCCUCAUUCUUUCCACCACAUCCUCUAGAAUUUAUCUCUUGUGGCACCCCCCCAACUAACAUUCUCAGAUAUUUAAAUGGUGUUUUCAUCACAUCACAAUUAAGAAUUUCCGCAAAAUAUUGAAUCAGAUUGUGAUUGACUCCCACCCCUCCAAUUUUACUCUUUAGAAAAUUUACCUUAAAGCCAGAUGCUAAUUCAAAGCAGUUUUAGAUUACCUUUAUAAUAAACACACUUUGAGUAUUGACUUUACAGAAAAAUAGUGUAUCAUCCGCGUAUUGUAACAUAUUCACCUUAACCAACUUAUCCCCAAUCUCCAUACUUUCUAUCAUAUUUUUCUUAACUGCUUUUCUUACACCCCGUACUAAUCCUUCUACCACUAUAAGAAACAAGAAAUGUGCUAAGGGACUCCUUGUCUCAGCCCCUUCUGUGGUUUAAAUUCCUAAGUUGGACUCCCACUCACUAAUACUGACACCGAAGAUGAUUCUAAACAUGCUUUUACCCAAACUAUCCAUCUUUCACAAAGAACCUAACCUUCCUAACAUAUAGUAGAUGAACUCCCAUCUUAAUGACUCAUAAGACUUCAUUGGCCACAAGCACACUAUCCAUUAACCCCUUACCUUCUAAAAGCGUUGACUGCCAAAGAUCAAUAACUUUAUGUGACUAUAUAUAUUCUUCUUGAUCUCUUCCUAACAAAUUUUAUAAAACCAAAAUUAAAGUCGUCACAACAUUUCAUCUUCUAUAAUACUUCCUACUAACAUUUCAUCUUCUCCAUAAAUAGUUUUAAAAUUUGUAUUAUCUAACCUGACUUUUCCUUAACAACCACUUGAUCCUCACACCAUUGGCCAUUCUCUAGCAAACCAUUAAUCCCAUUUCUUGACCUUCACCAUUUAGUUAUAGAGUGAAAAAAAUUGGUAUUAAGAUCACCUUGCUUCAACCACCUAUGACGAGCUUUCUGUUGCAUUAUAGCUUCUUGUUUAAAAUUAUUUUUACUAUGCUAACAAACACAAACUUACUUUCCUCUCUUCCUUCCUAAUCUAACUCAUUCUUGUCAUUUGUUGCAUCUAACUCUUGAUUUUUUCUUUGUUCCAUAUUUUUAAAUCAAAUUUUAGUUUUUUCAAUUUUUAUUUAAAAAUAAACACCUUGCUACCUUGCACCUCAUAUCUAUUCCAUUUAUUCCAUAUGAAGUCUUUGAAUCUGCCAUCUCUUUGCCAGAUGUUCAAACACCUAAACAGUUUCGGACCCUAAUUCUUACUCAUGUCUUUUAACACCAAUGUACGAUGACCGAACAUUGAUUUAUGUUAACAUAUUUAGUUUUUUCUAUUUUAACUUAUUGGACUUUGUUUGUUUGGCCCAACUUUCCUUUUCUGUUUCAGCCAGGUCUUAGUCUUUUUCUUAUAUAUACACAAUUUAUUUUAUUCUCUAAUACACAAGUAAAUAAGAAUUUCUUUUGUAUUUUCUUUUCUUUGUUUUUCUCUUUGAUCUUUAUUUCCCCCUUUGUUGUUCUUGGUUAUCUUUUAUGUUCUCUUUCAAAAUCUUGAUUGGGUUUCAAAAUCUCUUAGGCAAUGUCUAAUGAAAACCAUAGUCUUAAUAGUAGCCACACUAUUACAUGCAAUUUAUGUGGUAAAUACGGUCAUAUUGAGGCUGUUUGUUUUCGCAAAGUGGGUUUUCCUUCUAGUAAUGUUAAAACCUCAAAGUUUUUUUCUACUAGAAAAGUCUGCACUUUUUGUAAUCAUAUUGGCCACACUACCGACACCUGUUAUAAAAAGCAUGGGUUCCCUCCUGGCUACAAAUUCACCAAUUGGACAUCCCUAACCAAUAAUAUGAUUACUACUGACACUUUUUUUGAGCUUUUUCCUAAAGAACAAGAUGUAAAGGGGAUUCAACUUACAUCACAACAGUGUCAAUUCUUGACCAACAUUUUGCGUCAGCAAAACCUUGAGGAUCCUGCCCCUCACACUCAAAUUAAUCAAGUUGACACCUUCUCUGCGGAUGAAAUCCCCAAUACUGAGCAAUCUUCAAUAUGUAAGUUUCUCUCUUCACUAUCUGCUAUAAAAGAAUCUUGGAUUAUUGAUUCUGGUGCCACAUAUCAUGUUUGCCACAAUUUGAACAUUUUUACUACUUAUACUAAAAUUAAACCUGUCUUAAUUAGUCUUCCAAAUGACCAAACUGUUUAUGCCACAUAUUCUGGUUUAGUACGUUUUUAUGAUAAGUUUUAUUUGUCUGAUGUGUUAUAUGUGCCUCAUUUUCAAUUAAACUUAAUAUCUGUUUCUAAACUCACACACCAACUUAAAUGCACUUUAACUUUCACUUCAACCCACUGCAGUAUACAAGACAAUCUCACCCAAGAGAGGAUUGGUAUAGUUAAAGCCACUGCUAGCUUGUACCUUGUCACUACCUUGCCUGUUUCUAGCCAUUUUAAACCACAUUGUUUUGCUCCUUUUAUUAAUUGUAAUAUCAUGGACAAAACACUGUGGCAUUAUAGACUAGGACACCGUUCACUUGAAAGAUUACAUGUCUUAAGCGAACAAUACUCUUUUAUUACUGUUGAUACUCAUCAUGUAUGUGACACUUGUAGUCGUUUAAAGCAGAGAAAACUUCCUUUCACUUUAAGUAAUAUUGUUACCUCUGCUAUUUUUGAUCUUGUACACUUUGAUAUUUUGGGACCAUGUUCCAUAACUUCUAUGCAAGGUUUUCGUUAUUUCUUGACUAUUGUUGAUGAUUACUCGCGUUAUACUUGGGUUAUUUUGCUGCAUAACAAAUCUGAAGUGCGUCAGCAUAUCAUUAACUUCAAUAUUUUCAUUCAAAAUCAUUUCAAAACUAAUAUCAAAAUGAUUUGUACUGACAAUGGUGUUGAGUUUGCUAUGUCAAAUUUUUAUGCUUCAAAGGGAAAUAUACAUAAAAAAUCUUGUCUUGAAACACCAUAGCAAAAUGGCAUUGUAGAAUGUAAACAUCAACACAUACUAAAUGUAACCUGAGCUUUACUUUUUCAAGCAAAUCUUCCUCCUAUUUUUUGGGAAUUUGCUGUAAAUUAUGUUGUUUUUUUAAUAAAUGUUAUUCCUACUCCAUUACUUAAUAAUAUCACUCCUCAUGAAAAGUUGUUUGGAAAACUGUAUGACAUUUCCUUUUUAAAAGUGUUUGGUUGUCUUUGUUAUGCUAGUACCAUUACUGCACAUAGGACAAAAAUUAGAUGAUAGAUCUAUCAAAGGUAUUUUUCUUGGCUUCCCGCAAAAUACAAAAGGUUAUAUUAUCUUAAAUUUAAAGUUUCAUAGCAUAGAGAUAUCAAGACAUGUAAUCUUUCAUGAAAACCACUUUCCAUAUAAAUUGGACAGUGGCUUGCCUAGGGACCCGAAUACUUUAUCUCUCCUUAUUUCUAAUGCAUAUAAUUAUGCUUUUGAUUUUUUUUUUUUUGAUAUUGCACUUCCUGCCGAGCCAUGUACCUCUACUCCUACACCUAAUAUUGUCCCUCCACCAACCUCAUUAUCCUCUGAUCUUUCAGCAAAUAAUGUCUCUGCUCCUGCAUCCAACAUUGCACCUCCACCAGAAUUAUCAAUGCCUGCACCUCCAGGAAGCACUUCACCCCAAUUCCCAAGAAGAUCAGUCUGUCUUCACUGACAACCUGCCCAUCUUGCAAAUUUACACACUGCAACCAACAUUGUGGGUAGUAGAUAUCCUAUUCAUAAUUACUUGUCUUACAAUUCCUUAUCUUCCAAUUUUAGGAAUAUUAUUUCCUCUAUCAAUUCUCAUCAUGAACCUCUGACCUAUAACGAAGCCUCCAAACAUGCUUCUUGGCAAUCUGCCAUGCAAGAUGAGUGUCAAGCUCUUGCUGCUAACAAUACUUGGCAACUUACCUCUCUCCCUCCAGGAAAGAAAACUAUUGGUUGUAAAUGAGUAUAUAAAAUCAAAUACCAUUCUAAUGGCACUGUUGAGCGCCACAAAGCUAGAGUUGUUGCCAAAGGGUUCAUCCAACUUGAAGGACUUGAUUUCUUAGACACUUUUGCACCUGUUGCUAAACUCACUACCCUCUGUCUUCUCCUUGUUGUUGCCACUACCAAAAAUUGAAUUUUAAAACAACUUGAUGUUUAUAAUGCCUUUCUUCAUGGUAAUCUCCAUUAAGAGGUAUACAUGACCCCCCACCUGGCCUCUCUCUUCCUUCUCCCAAGCAUGUCUGCAAGCUUCAACGGUGUUUGUAUGGCCUUCGUCAAGCUGGUUGCCAAUGGUACGCCAAGCUUUCUACUUUUCUUUUAUCAAAUUAUUACUCUAUUUCUGCUACUGAUCACUCUCUUUUUCUUAAAUAUAAUAACGAUAAACUCACUGUUAUUCUUGUUUAUGUUGAUGAUUUGGUCUUAACUGGUGAUGACACGGUGGAAAUCAAUACAAUUACUGCAUCCUUUCACAUCACUUCAAGAUAAAAAUAUUUAGGUCAUCUCACUUACUUUUAGGGACUGGAAAUUGCUCGCAACAGUUAUGGUCUUCAUUUAAGUCAACGCAAGUAUACUCUUGAUCUUCUUCACGAAACUGGCAUGCUUGACUCUGCACCUGUGGCCACUCCUUUUGAUGUUGAUGCAACUUCCCAAAUACAGAAGACUCCUUGGACGUCUAAUCUACUUAACCAACACGCGGCCAAACAUCGCCUUCACUGUCCACAAUUUAAGUCAAUUCAUAUCUGCACCCACAACUCAUCAUCAACAAGUUGUCUCACGUCUUUUGCGUUACCUCAAGGGCACCCCUGGUGAAUGACUAUAUUUUUCUCAUAAUAGCUCACUUCACCUUUGUGGUUUUAGUGACUCUGAUUGGACAACAUGGCAUACCACACACAAAUUUGUCACUGGAUAUUCCAUGUGUUGAACCAAGUGGUGUUCAAGCUUUGAAGAAUCCAAACCCUUUGAAGGUUGUUGAAGGCUUGGUUGUGCUUGCUGUUGCUGAGCUGUCUUAGACAGGAUCUGGGGUAGUUUGUUUAUGUAAUCCACUCUUGAUUGAAUCUAAAGCAUAGGCACUCUCAAUCUUUGCCCUACCAAAUGCAACCGUGGGCUUGGUUAAAAAACAAGGCUCCAAUGACGCUAUUUUCUUUUUCCAACUGGGUCCAAUAUCCGAUUACUUGCAUUAANNNNNNNNNNNNNNNNNNNNNNNNNNNNNNNNNNNNNNNNNNNNNNNNNNNNNNNNNNNNNNNNNNNNNNNNNNNNNNNNNNNNNNNNNNNNNNNNNNNNUAAAAAAAAAAGUUUACAAAGGAUGUUAACCAUAUUAAUUAAUUCAAUUCAUCUGCCUAUAUAUUACGCAUAUCUAUAUGAGUGGUUAAGAGUGAACUAUUAAAUAAAUUUAUUUUCUCUCUACGCCUUCCACUCAUUCUCUUUCUUAUUAAUAGAUUCCUCUAUAAAUAGGUUCAUACUUCCACUAUUCUCUUUCUUAUUAAUAGAUUCCUCUAUAAAUAGGUUCAUAUUUCUUAUGUAUAGUGUUCUUUGCACACACAUUCCAACUAAGAGUACCUCCUGAUAGAAGGCAUGAAGAUCUCAUCUACGCUUUGAAAAGAAAGAUUAUAUAAGAUAAUCUCCACUCGUGUAAGAAAGGAAAGUACAAUGUAUUUUUUUAGUUCUUGCCAAUAUAAUACUUUUGUCAUACAUGUCAAAUUUUUAUUUUAAAUCCAACCACAUAUUAGUUUCAUGUUAUUAUCCCCAUUCACUUCAAAAAGUUUAACAGAAGCUAAAAACAACUUUUUAAAAGUACAGAACGAAGAGAUAAGAAUAAAAGUGCAUGGAUAAAAUAAAAAAUAUUAGGAGGGAAAAUAUUUAACCGUGACUAAGGUUUAAAAUAAUAGUUGGGAUGAUAUUUCACCAUUGCUUAGCAGCCUUGCAAAUCUUCGAAGUGUUUUGGUGCAAUGUGACGCCAAGUUUGAACUACAUGAGCAAGUAAAAAGUAUAUUGGUCGAAUAUGAUGCAAAUAUUACAGAAUCAGGAAUUUCAAAGAAUAAUUUCAGGUCUUCUCUGACUGGUGUCGGAAGAUACAAAGAAUUCUUCAAUACUGUGAGCGAUAGCAUACCUAAGGUUCUUCUCUAGUUUUCCCUUCGUUUAUUACCUUCACCAUCAUUUUAGCUAUUAUUUCUGAGAACAUAAAAUAAUCCUAAUGAAGUAUCUAGUAGAAACUACACUACUGAACUUUAAGCACCUUUCGCUUCUAUAGCUUCCACUUUAUUGCUUUACUAGCUUCAUGGUUUUUUUAUUCCUAAUGAUCGUAUAAAUAUAAACUGAGAGACAAAAACAGAAAUGCAAAAUGAUGGUGAUAUAUACACAGCAAAACUAUUAACCAGAUUUGUUUUAAUCAUGUAUAACAUUUUUGUUUCACUAAACAUGCCCCAGUUUGUCACAUGAUACAGGUAUUUGCAAACAGUGAGUCAUGUGAUGUUUCUCUCCCAGGUGACAACGAUCCUGAUUGGUUGGUCCAUAUGGGUGAUGGACAUUUAUAAGAAUGGCUUUGUGUGUUGUUUAUUUAUCAACCUCCGAAAUCAUUGAACCUAAACUUACUACUGUCUUAAUUGUUAAUUACACGAAGUGCACAUGCCAAAUACACAACCAUGGCACAAUAAUUUCCUUUAAUGAUGAAGAUUGGCAUAACAUAAUGUCAAAUUUAGAAUCAAGAGACUAGGUGGAGAUUUUUGUGACUUUUGGUCAUGAUUUGGUGAUUAAGAACACAGCUGUCUAUCUGAUAUAUGGUUUGCCAAGGAAAAUUCCCUCAUUAGAUUCAUAAAAAAAAUUGUAAUGUGACUUUUCGGGUAAGUCAUUAUCUCCUUUUUGAACAGGAAGGUCAUUUUUUCCCCAUCUUUUCCUUUCUUUAUAGUGUAGCUUAUAGUUAAAAAAUUCAUGUUUAUUUUACCCUGUUUCUCACUCCUCAGUGGUGCUUCCUUGGCUUUGCUUAAGCUGUUUAUUGUAUUUGUUUUCUGGAUUUUACUUUUGUCAAUUAUUUUCCCUUUUAGCAUAUAAUAUUUCAAUAGGAAUCCUCUUAAAAUAAGACAUUGCAUUAUGAUAUAAAGACAGCUGCAGUUUGAUAUUUUGCUAAGUGUUCUGUUUUGCUAUCUUGUAGGUAGUCUCUGUUUUCGUUUGAACAUAAUAAACAUUCAAAGGAUAUGUAUAGACACAACCAUUCAAAGGACACCAAAGAUGAGUACAUUUUUUUUAUAGUGGUGCAAGCGCGUUUAAAAAAUUCGACCAACGCACGCCAACUUUGAACCACUGGAAAAAUAAAUAUUAUACUAAUACAGUUGAAAUUUUCUCCAAUAUAUUCCUUUUUUCUAUAUUAUGCGUCCAUGUUUUUAAGUUUUAAAAUAUAACACAUGCUUCUUUGUUUACAUUACCCAUCUCGUUAAGAUAAAUCAUAAACAAAAAAAAUGUAUAAAUCUAGUUUGAAAAGAAUUACGACAAGUCAUUUUUUAUAAACAAGAAGAAACAGGGUAAUAUAAAUAUGAAUUUGUUAACUGUAAGCUAUACUCAAAGAAAAACAAGGAUAGGAUCAUAGGAUUAAUUCCAUAACUCAAGGGUUCCUACUGUUCUCAAAGAAGAUAAAUUACUUACCAGAAGUCACAUAGGGAUAUAUAUCCAAUGCUUGUUGGGUUUACAAUUGAAAAAGGCAUUUGUUUGACAGCUGUAUUUUCAGCAAUUAUAGUUAUCAAGGAUUUCAUUCACACUAUAUCUUUUUCUAUUAGGUGAAUCUUCCAACAACCAGAUAGAAUCAGAGUUUUUAAGGAUUUCAACUUAUACAUCUUUCUGGGGAGAUUGCUUAGAUUUGUACAGUCCUGCAAAUUUAGCAAUGUAAGAUACAAGAGGCAUCCAAUAGAUUGGUCUACUUCCCUCAAUCUUGGACAAUCUUUGAGAAUGAGUUGUUAAAGACUUGGUAUCGGAAAAGUCAGGGGUUUCUAUCAAGAUUAAGGACUUUUAGCCACGUCAAAACCUUGAAGAAGAUAGUUUUUGAUAAAAUAUCAGAGAAGUAAAUGAGAAAACGAAAUAGUUAUAAGUGGAAACAAAUAAUGAUUUUAAAAGAGAAUGACACGUAAUAAAACCUUGGGUUCUUUCCAAACGAAUCGAACAAGACUGUGUUUUAAGUCAAUCUCUAUUGCAUCAUGCAGAUAAAUAUUGUUUUAUAGGUAUUCUUAUAAAACAGGUACCCCUAAAGUAUCCCUCUUAAUUUAAUUCAUUCAUUGCUGAUAAAAAAAAAAAAUAGGUAUUCUUAUAAAGGUACUCGGAAUGUCCAGCGAAUUUCAGCAGUCUUACCUCUAAAGGAUAACGUUCCAAGAAAUCACUUGCGGUAGGCAAUCUCUGAAUCACUUUUGUCCUUUUAGAUGAAAAGAGCAAAGAAAAAGAAAUAUAUUGCUCAUGAGAAAGCAACCACUUCCAAAAAGAAGUUUCAAAACCAUAGAUAAAGGGUGUUCUUACCGUAUGCUCUGACAGUGCAUAUUCUGCAUCCUUAUUAAACCACAGUUGACUGUUCUUCCCUGAAAUUUGACGAAUAAUUUAUCUUCCCAUUUGUCUUCCUAAUUUGUUGUUCUUAUUAUGAGACUACGCUGUAUGAGAACUCUUAUUCCACUAUCAGCAUCUAUUCCACAGCCAUUUAGGAUCUUAGUAACGUAGACACUGUCCUUACUAACAAAGGAAAUAACAUACAUCAAGGAAUAAAUCUUUUUCCAUUUGAUUGUGUACACCGUCGAAGCUUGUUUUCAGUAUUUUGUAAAAUAAAUAUGAAUUUAACUAUGAGCUAUACUCAAAGAAAAACAAGGAAAGGAUCAGAAAGAUAAAUUGCACUAGAGGACACAAGGAUUAAUUCCAUAACUCACGGGAUCAUGCAAAAAAAAGUGGUUAGGUAGGUAAAACCCUCGCAAACUGAUUGAUCUUAAUUUCGCAGGAAGGUACUCAGAGUCUGCAGCUAGUUUCAAAAGUCUUGAUGAGUCUCUUAGACCUACAGGAAAGUUUCAAAAGUUUCGAUAUUAUGUUGUGUUUAGUUUAGCUAUCUGUUUGGUAGUGUCUGUUUUUGUUUCUACAUAAUAAGCACCGUAGCCUCUAUUCAUGAACCUAGGUUCUAUUGUGAUGAUCCAUCAUAGCCAGAUAGUAGAACAUAUUUUACCAUCCCCCAAAAAUCCAGUUUUAAAGCCCGGUCAUUGAAAUUGCCAGAUCUCACCAAAAUUGUAUUACUGAGCAUCAUAUGAUGUGGUCGGCAAAAGUUGUAUUGGUCCAAAGAAAGCUUCAUGAAACGUACCAUCUGACACAACCUAUGAAGCAUAUUGACACAGACACUGAUAUACAACACAGACACGAAAAUACGUAUAAUCUCUAAAAUGUAGGAUACGGGGACACGAUUUAUAUAUUAUAUAAUCAUGAAUUAUAUAAAUUAAUAAUAAAGAUUUAUGUGCAAAGUAUGUUUGAGUUAUUUUUGGAACAAAAAGAUUUUCUCAUAGCUGGUUCAAAAGGAUUUGUUCUUUAUUUUUAUAAUCAUAAUACGGGUAGAACGUAUACCUUUACGGAUAGCAAUAGGAAGAUCAAGUUCAACUGUUGGAGGUUCAACUGUCGUUGGAUGAGGAAAUAAAAUAGAAUGAGGAAUUUUGUUAUCUAAAACUGAAGAUGGCAUGCGAUUAAUGAGAUAACAUGCACUAAGAACAACAUCACCCCAAAAACACUGAGGAACAUCACCAUGGAUUAAAAUAGUACGAGUUGUUUUAACCAGAUGUCUAUUCUUGCGCCCAGCUACCCCAUUUUGUUAAGGUGUAUAAGCACAUGAAGUUUGAUGAAGAAUACCAUGAGAAGCCAUACAAUUUUGGGGAUAAUAAGUGAGACGACUGGAUAAUAAGUUAAAUGGAGACCCAAAAACAUAAAGAACAUUAUCAAUAGAUAAAGUAUGAAAAAGAUUAAUAGUACCAACACCAUGUGAUGGUAGCCUAUAUUCAUUGGCCAUGGUAACCGAAGGUAAAUAACCCGUAGUUGUACUUGUAAAGGGCUAAGACAGUAUUUGCAACCGGUUGGACAACUAAUUCUUCCCCUUGGUCACGCUUUACUUACUUUCCUUCUUCUUGCAUUCAGGUUUCGGCUCUCUACGGGAGUGCACCUACAAAAGGUUCUUUGAUGCUCAAGUGAGUAUUCAAUAUUUAAGUGCUAUUAAUGUUGUAAUAGUGAAGUACCUUUGCUUUGUCUAAUGUGCUUAUUUAUACCAGUGUAAUUGACUCUAUCAUUGAUGGGUCAUGUUUAUUGUGUAUAAUCAUAAAAAUGAAAUUACCUAAUAUAUCACGUAUUCCUUUUUACUUUGAUGUAUUUACACUAGUUAGUUGUGCGACAUCUGAUACCAAGUGUUAUAGGAUCAUUCGGCCUCGACCGAUACAUGUUUGAUCAAUCAAGAAGAGGUGCAAGUUUUGACCCUAAAUAUAAUAUUGUGGAUAUUCAAAUGAGUUCAAGAUACCAACCAUUUGAUCCAUUUAAUCUAGCACAGAUAAGUGAACAAUGUCCUAUAUCCAACAUUUCAAGUAGACAAACAUGGUUGAUGUGUUGAAUUAAAGCCAGCCUAAGGUCACAUUGACUCAAAUGAUGGAAGAGAACGUCCCUUACCAAGUAGAUCAAAUGUCACAUGCCAAUAAAAUCAUUGAAGUGGAAGGUAUAUUUGGAUUACAGAGGAAGAAGAGAGAACAAGAAGUUGAUGAUGAUGAUGUGGAGGAGUAAGAAACAGGGUAAAGUAAAUGCAUGCGGCUAUUAUUAGAUGACCUACAGUGGCAUCGUCUAUGGCUUAUAUAUAUAUAUAUAUAUAUAUAUAACAAUGCUUGCGGCUCAUACAUACCCAUACAUGCAGUUCAUGUAACAAAAUUUAUAAAUGUAAAUUGAAAAAAAAAUGAAAUACUUUUAAAUUAUACAUAAAACAAAUAGAAUCAGUGUAAAUAACGAGAAAUGAAAUCAAACUUUGUUUAAUUUAGUUUGAAAUAAAGCGAUGAGGCUACGGUGCUUCUUAUGUUGAAAUAAAAACAGACUACAUAGCAUAUAGUAUGGCAAAACACAUAACAAAUUAUUGAACCGCAACUAUCUUUAUUUCAUAAGAAAUACGAGGAUUUCUGAAUGAAAUAUUAUAUGCUAAAAGGGAAAAGAAUUGACAAAAGUAACAACGAGAAAGCAAAUCCAAUAAACAGCUAAGUAAAGCCAAGCAAGCACAAUGUGAGAAAUGAGAAACAGGGUAAAAUAAAUAUGAAUCUCGUAACUAUGAGCUCUACUCAAAGAAAAACAAGGAAAGAUCAGAAAAAAGAAUUGCAAUAAGGACACCAGGAUUCAUUCCAUAACUCAAGGGAUCCGGCUGUUCUCACAUUACAAUUUUCUUUAUUAAUCUAAUAAAAGAUUUUUUUCUUUGGCACAGGCUCCUUUUCUAAGUCAUUCGAUUCACUACAUAUUAGAUAGACAGCUGUGUUCUUGACUACCAAUUCAUUACCAAAACUCACAAAAAUCUCCACCUUGUCUUUUGAUCCUAAAUUUGACAUUAUGUCAGCCCAAUCUUCGUUGUUGAAGGAAAUUACUGUGCCAUGGUUGUGUAUCUGGCAUGUGCACUUUGUGUAAUUAACAAUUAAGACAGUACUAAGUGCAGGUUCAAUGAUUUCAGAGGUUGAUAAAUAAACCACACACAAAGCCAUUCCCUUCACGACACGAUCUUGAGGCACAGUGAAAGAAACAGAAUGUCCCUCACCCAUAUGGGCCAACCAAUAAGGAUCAUUGUCACCUGGGAGAUAAGCAUCACAUAACUCACUGCUUUCAAAUAUCUGUAUCAUGUGAUAAACAAGGAUAUGUUUAGUUAAACAAAAAUGUUAUACAUGAUUAAAACAGAUCUGGUUAAUAGUUUUGUUGUGUAUAUAGCACUUUCAUUUCUUUAAGGAUUUAGAAUGCAUUUCUGUUUUUGUCUCUCUUAGUUUAUAUUUCAAUGAUCAUUGGGAAUAAAGCAAUCAUGAAGCUAGUAAAGCAAGAAAGUGGAAAUCAAUUUGGUAGUACUUAGUAUAAGCAUAAUCACUUGAUUAGUUGUUUAUUAAAAUAAGAUACUUUUAUAUGAAGUCGUGGGGCCAUCGAAGGGAAGAGAUAUAAAAGUUCAGUAUUUUAGUUUGUACUAUAUACUUGAUUAGGAUUAUUUUCUGUUCUCUUAAAUAAUACCUAAAAUGAUGUUGAAGGUAAUAAAAAAGGGAAAGCUAGAGAAGAACCUUAGGUAUGCUACUGCUCCCAGUAUUGAAGAAUUGUUUGUAUCUUCCAACACCAGUCAGAAAAUACCUGAGGUGAUGCUUUGAAAUUACUGAUUCUGUAAUAUUUGCACCAUAUUCGGCCAGUAUGGUUUUUACUUGCUUAGAUAGUUGAAACUCGGCGUCACAUUGCACCAAAACACUUCGAAGAUUUGCGAGGCUGCUAAGCAAUGGUGCAAUAUCAUCCCAACUAUUAUCUUCCGUAUGCAUGAAGGAAUGAAUAUAAGAUAGGGGAUUCGUUGUUGGCGACAUCCGAGACCGAAUGAUAGAAGGAAAAAGAUUAUGUGACGAUUCCUCAAAUCCACGUAGGGAUAUAUAUCCAAUGCUUUUUCGGCUUACAAUUGUAAAAGGCAAUUGUUUCAUAACUGUAUUUUCAGCAAUUAUAGUUAUCAAGGAUUUCAUUCGCACUCUAUCGUUUUCCAUUAGGUCCAUCUUCGAACAACCAGAUAGAAUCAGAGUUUUUAAACAUUUCAGCUUAUAUAUCUCUUCGGGGAGAUUGCUCAGACUUGUACAAUCCUUCAAAUUUAGCAGUAUAAGAUUGCAGAGACAUCCAAUAGAUUGGUGUACUUCACGCAAUCUUGGACAAUCUUUGAGAAUAAGCUGUUCAAGACUUGGUAGUCCGGAAAAGUCAGGGGUUUCUUUUAAGUACUUUGAGUGACUAAGAUUAAGGACUUUUAGCCACGCCAAAACCUUCAAGAAGAUAGUUUUUGAUAAAACGGUAGAGAAGAAUAUGAGAAAACGGAAUAGUUAUAAGUGGAAACAAAUAAUAAUUUUAAAACAAAAUGACACGUAGUAAAAACCUGGGGUUCUUUCCAAACGAAUCGAAGAAGACUGUGUUUUAAAUCAAUCACUAUUGCAUCAUGCAGAUAAAAGUCGUUAGGUAGGUAUUCUGAAGAAAACCCUUGCAUACUGAUCCAUCUCAGUUUCUUAGAAUGGUACUCGGAAUGUCCAGCGAAUUCCAGCCGUCUUGAUGCGUCUCUUGCCUCUAAAGAAUAACGUUCCAAGAAAUCACUUCCGAUAGGCAAUCUCUGAAUCACUUUUGUCCCCUUAGAUGAGAAGAGCUAAGAAAGAAAUAUAUUACACAUGAGAAAGCAACCACUUCCAAAAGAAGUUUCAAAAGCAUAGAUAAAGGAUGUUCUUACCGUAUUCUCUGACAGUACAUAUUCUGCAUCCUUAUCAAAACACAGUUGACUGUUCUUCCCAGUUUCCUUUCUUGAAAUUUGACGAAUAAUUUCUCUUCCCAUUUGUCGUAGCAACGGAUGCAUUCCUAAUUUGUUGUUCUUAUUAACUCGUAUAAGACUACGCUCUGUCAGAACUCUUAUUUCACUAUCAGGGUCUAUUCCACAGCCAUUUAGGAUCUUGGUAACAUACGCUCUGCCUUUACCAACAAAGGAACAACAUAAAUCAAGGAAUAAUUUUUUUUCCAUUUGAUUGCAUAAACCGUCGAAGCUUAUUUUCAAUAUCUGGUCAAAUUUACGGUCGGGAAUUUUCUUUAAUUUUAAGAGUACUCUAUUCCAUUCUUCUUUCGUCCUUUCAUAUAAAUAACUUUCAAUGACUUCAAGAGCUAGAGGUAGUCCUCCACAAUAAGCAACUACUCUUUCUGCUAGGAAACGAUAAUCUUCUUUUGGUUUUGCUUCUUUAAAUGCGUGCCAACUAAGAAGCUCAAGGGAUUCAUCUGAGUUCAUUAGCUCUACCUGAAAAAUAGAAUCAGUUUGAUAUAUCAUCGGUAGUUUUUCAGGUGUUGUUGUAAUGAUUAUUACACUUCCUCUUCCAUACCAAUGACGGCAUUCCCAUAGUAAUGUGGCAUCAAACGGAGGCACAUCGUCAAGUACAAUGAGCACCCUUUUCCCAGAAAGUCUUUCCCGAAUCAUACGUCUUCCCAUCUCAAAGCUAUCUAUCUCUACCUUUGUUUUUAGGACAUCUGAAAGGAGUUGUUCUAGUAAACCAAGAUCCCCUCUUAUUCCGAUAACUUGUCCAAUAUCUUCAAUGAAACUUUUCUCCGUGAAUGUAUCAUGAAUUUGAUGGUAGAUGGCUUUAGCAAGGGUGGUUUUACCAGAUCCUCCCUGUCCACAUAUCGCUAUCCUACAAACUUCCGUGGAUUUACUUUUGAUAGUUCCAAUCAGAUCCUCCACUUGGUAUUGUAAUCCAACUGGAAAUUUAGUAGCAGACAACACUGGUAAAUUAAGAACGGUCUUAACAAUUUUGUCCACUAGUUCAGCAUCACUCCUUCAAGUUCAAUAGCAAUUAUGGAAGAAGUCAUGUCAUGUAUUACCAAAAUUAAAUCAGAAGCUUAAAAUAUGGUGAUUGAGUGAGUGAUUUACCUGUAAUUGCUCUCAUCCCAUCCAAAGAAAUUUGCAGCUUUGGUGAGUGCGUGGCUCCAUUUGGACAUGGCAUGUUCCAGUUGUUGUCCUGAAAAUGUUUGGUGUGCAGUUUCUUUCAAGGCUUUUCCAAAAUCACCCUUCUGAAGACGUACAUCAGAUGGCUCAAUUUCGUAAUAAACGGGCAGAACAUGUCGACAAUAAGUUUCUUUCCAUCUAAUGAUUUGUUGAAGCUGGUGAAGACACCAAGCAGAUUGAGAAUAGGUUUUGGUGAAAACAACAAUUGCUACACGAGAGAGAUUGAGAAUAGGUUGUUGGAUGUGAAUUGGGUUGUGUGCAUUGGGGUGGUGAAGGAAAGUGGUGAAGCCAACAGCAGAGAGGGCAGAAUUGAGAUGAGACACAAAUUUCCUUUGGAUGUCUUCUCCAGUAAAGUUGAUGAGUACAUCGUACAUCCGUGGGAGUUUGGAUGUUGAGGAGGCCAAUUCCAUGGAAGGAAUUGAUGAGGUCAUCAACUGUUAGCAGAAGAGAAACAAAUGAUGCAACGCAGUCAAAUAAUAUGCACAGACAUAACCGUUAAGGACACCAAAGAUGAAUAAUACAUUUUUUUAUAGUCAAAUGAUAUCACAGAACCUCUUUUACUUUAGCCAUUUUAAAAGUUAGACCAAUGCACGCCAACUUUGAAUCACUGAAAAAAUAAAUAUUAUACUAAUACCUAUGAAAUUUUCUCCAAUAUAUUCCUUUUUUAUAUUAUGCGUCCAGCUUUUUAAGUUUUAAAAUAUAACAUGCAUGUUUACAUUACCCAUUCACCUCGUUAACAUAAAUCAUUGUAACAAAGUAACAAAAUAAAAAAAAAGUAUAAAUAUAAUUUGAAAAAAUUUACGACAGGUCAUUUUUUAUAAACAAGUAGCGAUGAAGUUCGCGCACAUCAAUGGAGAAGGAAAGGUGUCAGUGAAAGGGUAGCUUUGUCAAAUGAAAUAAUUGGUUUCAAUUGGUUCGUUGACAAAAAUUUCUUGCUAGAUUUGCCUAUUAUUGGCAAGAAGUGCACAUGGUUCAAAUCAAAUGGAUCAACUAAGAGCAGGUUAGAUAGAGUGCUUGUGAACAAUGAUUGGUUACAGAAUUGGUCAGGGUGUAAACAGCAGGUAGUGUUUGAUCACUAUGUUUUAGUGGUGAAGUUUAUGGUAAAAGACUGAGAUCCUAAGCCAUUCAGAACUAUCGACGCAUGGCACAUGGAGAGGGGAUUCAAGGAGCUGGUGCAAGAGAAAUGGAUGUCAUACUCUACACAAGGGAAUGACAUGAUCAAACUCAAAGAUAAGUUGAAGAUGCUAAAGAACGACCUAAAAGUCUGGAACAUGGAUGUGUUUGGUAAUAUUGACUUAAAAAAGAGUAGAAUCUUGAAGAGAAUAGAAGAAGUUGACUGUCAAGAUGCAUAUGGCAAGCUGGAGGGAAGUUCUAGGCUUGAAAGAAUGGAACUCGUUAGCCAAUUGAGGGUGACAAAUAAAAAGAUAUAAUCUCUCACUAGUCAAAAGACGAGAGUAAAUUGGCUAAAGCAUGGGGAUUCAUGUUCAAGAUACUAUCACUCAAUUCUAAGGUGGAGAAGACUUAGGAAUGAAAUCAAAAGAGUUGAGGUCGGAGGUGAGUGGUGCGAGGAGCCUGAAGUUGUUAUAAAAGAAGCAAAAAAGUUGUUCCAAGACAAAUUUGUGGCUACUAAAGACGUCGGGGUUAGAAUUGGUGCGGCUAAGUUUAAAACCCUCUCUGUGGAAGGAAAUCUUAUCCUUAUUGUUGAGUUCACUAAGGAAGAAGUGCAGGAAGCGGUGUGGCGAUGUGAUGGCUCAAAGAGUCCUGGUCCAUAUGGAUAUAACUUUAACUUCAUCAAGAAAAGUUGGGAUGUUAUUAAAAGUGACAUUGUAGCAGUGGUGGCACAGUUCCAUGAUUCAAGUAGCAUACCAAAAGGAUGUAAUGCUUCGUUUAUAGCCUUGGUCCCUAAAGUUAGUGACCCUUUGAAGCUUGAUCAGUAUAGACCAAUCACCUUAGUGAGUGCUCUAUAUAAAAUCAUAUCGAAGGUGUUGUCUUGUAGAAUCAAGUCUGUUCUGCCAUCGGUGAUAGAUGGGAGUCAUUCGGCCUUUUUGAUGGAUAGAGGGAUGCUGGAUAGCGUACUAAUGGCGAAUGAAGUGGUAGAGGAGCUCAGGAGGGAUGGGAGGAGUCUCCUAUUUUUAAAGGUGGACUAUAAAAAGGUGUACCACUCGGUCAAGUGGGAUUUUCUUUAUCAUAUGAUGCAAAGGUUGGGGUUUCACUAUAAAUGGAUUUUAUGGGUCAGAGAAUGCUUGGUUUUUGCUUCGGUCUCGAUUUUGGUUAAUAGAAGUCUACUGAAGAAUUUAAACCGACGAGAGGGUUGAGGCAGGGUGAUCAUCUAGCACCAUUCCUAUUUAUCAUAGUAGCUGAAGGCCUUGCUGAGUUAGCCAAACAAGCUAUAAAGGCCAAUGCGUUAUCAGGCUUGAAGAUUGGUAGGAAUGCGGUAGAGGUGUGCGUGCUUCAAUUGGCUGAUGAUACACUUUUUCUAUGUGAAGACUCCUUUAGAAAUGUAAUCACUAUGAAGGCUAUAUUGAGGGGCUAUGAACUUGCAUCAGGCUUGAAGAUUAAUUUCCAUAAGUCGAAGGUUGCAGGCAUAAAUGUUGAAAGGAAUGCCCUGGAUCUCUACGCUAAGACCUUAAAUUGUACGCAGAUGUCGAUUCCUUUCAAGUAUUUGGGGCUUGAAGUGGGUGGUAACCCUAGGAAGAUAAUGUUUUGGGAGCCAAUCCUAAGGAAACUUAAAGCAAAACUCAGUGCGUGGAAAGGGAGAUUCUUGUCAUUGGCAGGAAGAAUAUGUUUAAUUAAAUUUGUCCUCUCAGCUUUGCCUCUCUUCUAUCUAGCAUUCUAUAAAGCGCCAGAAUUCGUAUUAGCAUCACCAGCAUCCAAAGGAGGUUCUUGUGGGCGUGGGGGAAGGAAGAAAGAACAAUAUCAUGGGUAAGAUGGGAGGAUGUGUGUAAACCUAAAGAGGAAGGUGGGUUGGGUGUUAAAGACAUUAGAAAGUUUAACCAAGCUCUUCUGGCUAAAUGGAGGUGGUGUUUACUGAUUGGAGAGAAAGGCAAAUGGAGAGACUUGCUGGUGUCAAAGUAUGGCUCGGCUGCUAGUACGCCAGUGAAGCUCCAAUCAUGGUGGUCGGGGGACCUGUCCAAAGUUUGUCAUGGGGGAGGAGGUGGUGGAUGGUUUCAGGAAGCAACAAGUUUGAAAAUAGGAGCUAGUGAUAAGGUUAGAUUUUGGAAGGAUGUGUGGGUUGGAAAUCUGAACCUCAAAACAGUAUUCCCUAGGUUGCAUUCUUUAUCCUUGAACCAGGGAGAAAAGGUAGGUGAGGCUGGCGUGUGGGUAGGAUCAGAAUGGCGGUGGAGUCUAAGGUGGAGAUGUGCUAGGUUUGUGUGGGAAUCUAUUAUGGAGGAAGAUCUUUUAAGGCUCAUAUCUCAAACCAAUCUGUAUAAAAAGGUGAAGGGCUACCAGGUGUGGAGGAAUGAAGAAUCAGGGAUGUUCUUAGUGAAAUCGGCGUAUGAUCACUUAACUAAUCCUGUAAGAGGUCCUCACAAUGACCUCUUCAAGUGAUUUUGGAAGAUAAAAGCGCUACCCAACGUGUUGUUUACGGCCCGGAUGGUCUUAUUGGAUAGAAUUCCAACAAGAGUAGCAUUAAGUAGGAGAGGAGUGUCAGUGCCUACUCCCUUAUGUGCUGUGUCAGGCUAAGGAGGAGUCAAGUCAACAUUUAUUCAUAGAAUGCAUGAUUGCCUAGAAGGUUUGGCCUACAUGUUUUAGAUGGAUUGGUAUUCUAUCGGUGCAACACAAUGAAUUGAAGUGCCAUUUUGAGAAUUUUCAUCUGGAACAGGUGAAUAGCAAUCAAAACUUGGUAUGGAAAGGUAUUUGGGCAAUCAUAGUGAGGUGUAUUUGGGAUCAUAGAAACAACGUUAUUUUCAAACAAGGAGCAGUUAAUGCGGAAGAGAUUUUCCAUAUGGUACAACUUAUGUCUUGGUUGUGGAUGAAGUAUAGGACUCCUUCUUUCAAUCACUCCUACACGGGUCCUGAAUCCCCUUCCAUGUAUUAGAAGUUAUAGGUAAGGGGAAGGAAUAUAGGAAGCAAUUAUGGAGGGAAAGGUUGAAUGUAGGGUAGCUAUAGUACUCGAAGGAAACUAUCACGUGAAGGGUGUUUAGUAGGCUGGGAGAGUUCAGGUAGGGGCAGCACAAAGUAGAGCAACCUUAUCAAUGCUGAUGCAGUUCUAAGGAGUUGCAGGAAUUAAUAGUAGCAGCAGAGGUGUUGAGCCUCUCCCCAAGGAUUCCCCAGUUUCCAUUUCAUUAUGAGACUGGUGUAGAAGUAGGAUGUGGACUUUAUGUAGCUCUGCUACUGGUGCUGGUCCAGAAGCAUAGUUCUCAAGGUAAAGGUGUCGGUAAAUACUAAAGGCAAGUUUUUAAUGCUUACUUGAGGGGCGCCAGGGUAAGCUAUGCAGGUUGUUUUGGUUGCAUAACUGACGACUAGACUGUGCUUUUGAACUAUUGGUGUAUCAGCUGUUGGGAGAAAGCCUGUGCUGGCCAGUCUAUGAGAAGCAGAACAUACUCACUUCAGUUUUGAGUGCACCAAUAAAUCUGCAUAAUUUAGGUGGUAUAAAUGCUACACUUCAGAUGCUAAUUACGGUACUCUGAUGAGACUUUUAAUCAUAAAGCGCAAGUUGCACAAUGAUGGAAAAAGAAUUUUAAUUUCAACUAGAAGGCUGUUAUUAAGGUGCGAAACAGAACAACUCUGUAGCAUUUGAAGCAAAAAUGUCAAAGGUCUAUAGGUUCUGCUUUGUGGACCCUUAGGAGGAGAAAAUGAAAUGCCUGGAUGAGGUAGCAGGAGGCAUUAGCUUGCUGAUUUUGAGGAGCUGAAGGGGUCAGUAAAGUCUGAGGUGAGUAGAGGUAUCGGGCAGAUUUAAGAGAUUGGGUGAGAAGCCUCUUAGAGGGUGCAAAGCUGGGUUAGUAUGUAGAAAGUUGUGAAGGGAAGGUGAUGCGAGAAGUACUCAAUCCCAAUGCAGGAAUUUGUUUGAACCUGGAAGUGGAGGGAUUGGUUUAAAUGUUGAACUAGCUUUAGAGAACAAUUGAGGAGGCUUAAGGAGAAAGUGUUCGUUUUUUGAGAAAUAAGCACCAGUACUCUCCAAGUCAAUUUUCUAGCCUUUAUUAGAAUCUCUUAAGGAAAGUUAGAAAAUGCUGCAGCCAAUUUGUUCGAGAGUUCAGUUUCUGCUUGAAGAUUAUGCUUGAAGUACUGUGCCGGUAAUUGCUAUGUCCAUGAGUAGAAUGGCUUGAGAAGAUUCUGCUGCAGCCAUUAGAUAACCAUGCAGUUUGACUCUCUGAGGAAGAAUGGUGGAAAUAAGGUAGAAUGAAAGGUGCAUGAAAAUAGGCGUGAUGAUGCAGUUAAGGCAGCAAAAGAGCCUCUUUGCUGUUGUAAAGGUUGGCCAGAGUUUUUUUCAAUACUUGCAUUUAUGUUGGUGUGUGGUAGAGAAUUUUAUGGAAAGUGCUUCUCUGCUGUAUAAGGUGCUGUUAUCAACAUUGAGAUAUCUGCAGUCUCAUGCUUACUGCAUAAGUUUGAAGGUCUAGGACCUAAUUGUUUGUGGAGGAUGCUUAGUCUUUAAUAUGUAGCCUUUUUUUGGUGAUGGCAACUUUUCAAUGGUUCCGUUUGUAGGAAAGUUGCUUAGAGUGUUUGUUGUUGUAUAAUGGUUGGACACUUCUAAAAUAUCUUUUUUAAUUUAUUAAUUUUUUAAUAAUUAAAAAAUAAACAAGUAAAGAAAUUGUGUCUCUUUAUUAAAAUAUAAUAAUUAUUAAAAAUAUUAGUUAAAUGAAUGUCUUUUCUAAAAUUACUGAGCUUAUAGUGUCAUUUUAUUAAUAAAAAAAUUAAUAUUAGAGGAAAUGUUCGCCUAGGGAAAAAAAUACAUGUAAUUUUCUCUUUUAUUUACAAUACAGAUUGUAAAAAAAAAAUGAAUGAAAGUGAUAAAUUUAAUAUAAUUUUAUUUAUUACACUUUUUACAUUAUAAAAUUGUAUAUAUCCUUAGUGAAAAAUCCAUUCUUGAUACCACUCUCUUCGCAUGAGGAGAGUUUCAAAAGUAUUUCAUUUUAAAACAACUUAAAGUGGGUCUCCAAACAUGGAAAAGGGUAAGUACUUUCUUGGAAAUUCCUCAUACACAAUCAUGUAAAAUGAGUCAAUUACGUCACCUAUUUUUAUGUUGAACUCCUACGCAAAAAAAUAUGGUAAUAUUUUCGUAAAUAUUUCAAACAUGUUCAGAUGUUCUAGGGUCUCAUGUAAAUAUUCAUAUAUUUACGUCAGAAGUUGCUUAAAUAAGAACACAAUGCAUCUUCUUCCUUGCAUUUUGAACGCACAUGAAUCCCUCUUCUUCUUCUCUGACGAAGGCGACUACAACGCGAGUCUGCACUUGUUGGUCAUCUAAAUUCUACUUCCGUCUUUAUGUCUCAUUUGUGGCGGCAGACCUUUCUCUCUAAUUGCAUUAUUGGAGCAUUUGUGGGUGAAUGUUUGUCAUUCAUGUUAGUUUUUUCACUAGUAUAAAAUGAUGAAAAUAAUACUCUUAUUAAGUGCGGCUUUGCGUUCAAACGCAUUCGUAAAAAAUACGGUGACAUUUUUUAAAUUAAUUUGAUUUACAAAUGCGGCUAUUCAAAUAGCCGCAUUUGUAAAUCUUUUUUUACCCUAAAAUUUAAAUUGCACACACUACUUUCAUAUUUUCUUCUCCACUUUGCCUUUCGUUUUCACUGUUCCUCCGCUCGCGUACGCUUGCAGUUCUUCUCUUCUUCUGCAUCUUCAUUAAUUUGUGUCAUUGUGAGUUUCUUGAAUUGCUUUCUUUCUCUGCAUCUUCACUACGUAUAAAUCUUUUUCGUUUUUCCUUAUAUUUGUUUUUUCUCCUUGCAUUGUGGUCAAACUGUUCCAUUGGCAUUCUCAUCUCCAUCGCUACUCUGCAACCGCUUCCGCUGUCGUUGCUGGCGCUCCCCUGCCACUCUUCACCACCAACGUCGGUUCACACACAAGAUUAGUGUUCUGUUUUAAAUUUUUUGAAUUUUUCUUUAAUAUUUUGAAUUUAUUUUUUUAUGUAUUAUAAUUUGUAUAUUAUUUAUAAAUAAUUUGUACAUUGUGGGUUACAUUUGAACAUAUUUAUUAUUAUUUUUAUUUACUGAAGCAUAUACAAGUGCGGCUAAAAGUCGCACUUGUAAAUUGUAUUUAUAAAUGCGGCUAUAUAACCGCAUUUGUAUCUCUUCGAUUUACAAGUGAGUGUUGAUCAAAUGCGACUAUAUAGCCACAUUUAUAUAUUCAAAAUAGCCGCACUAGUUGUGUGUUUUUGCACCAGUGUUUAUAUCUUCUUUUUACUAUUGAAAUUGAAACUCUGGUAGUUUUUUAGAUCUCAAUCAUCAUGAUAAUGCAUGAAUGUUUCCAUUGAAUUGUUGUUAGUUAUUAUUGAUAUUGAAAUUUUUGUUAAAUUAAAUGUGUUAUUUAGUUGUUUAUAUUUCAAAUAUUAAAAUUAAUGUUUGUGUAAUUGUGAAUAUUAUAAGAUGUUUAAAAUUGUAUUCUACACAUUAGAAAUAGUCAAAAUUAUAGGGAUUAAUUAUAGAAAAAGGCAUUUGUUUGACAGUUGUAUUUUCAGCAAUUAUAGUUAUCAAGGAUUUCAUUCGCACUAUAUCUUUUUCCAUUAGGUCAAUCUUCCAACAACCAGAUACAAUCAGAGUUUUUAAGAAUUUCAACUUAUACAUCUUUCUGGGGAGAUUGCUUAGAUUUGUACAGUCUUGCAAAUUUAGCAAUGUAAGAUACAAGAGGCAUCCAAUAGAUUGGUGUACUUCCCUCAAUCUUGUUCAAUCUUUGAGAAUGAGUUGUUCAAGACUUGGUAUAUGAAAAGUCAGGUUUCUAUCAAGUACUUGGAGUGACUAAGAUUAAGGACUUUUAGCCACGUCAAAACCUUCAAGAAGAUAGCUUUUGAUAAAAUAUUAGAGAAGCAAAUGAGAAAACGAAAUGGUUAUAAGUGAAAACAAAUAAUGAUUUUAAAAGAGAAUGGCACGUAAUAAAAACCUGGGGUUCUUUCCAAACGAUACGAAGAAGACUGUGUUUUACGUCAAUCACUAUUGCAUCAUGCAGAUAAAUAUCUUUAGAUAGGUAUUCUUAGAAAGGUACUCGAAAUGUCCAGCGAAUUUCAGCAGUCUUGAUGGUCUCUUACCUCUAAAGGAUAACGUUCCAGGAAAUCACUUGCGGUAGGCAAUCUCUGAAUCACUUUUGUCCUUUUAGAUGAAAAGAGCAAAGAAAAAGAAAUAUAUUGCUCAUGAGAAAGCAACCACUUCCAAAAAGAAGUUUCAAAACCAUAGAUAAAGGGUGUUCUUACCGUAUGCUCUGACAGUGCAUAUUCUGCAUCCUUAUUAAACCACAGUUGACUGUUCUUCCCUGAAAUUUGACGAAUAAUUUAUCUUCCCAUUUGUCGUAGCAACGGAUGCAUUCCUAAUUUCCUGUUCUUAUCAUGAGACUACGCUAUAUGAGAACUCUUAUUCCACUAUCCGCGUCUAUUCCACAGCCAUUUAGGAACUUAGUAACAUAGACUCUGUCCUUACCAACAAAGGAAAGAACAUACAUCAAGGAAUAAAUCUUUUUCCAUUUGAUUGUGUAACCCGUCGAAACUUGUUUUCAAUAUUGUGUAAAAUAAAUAUGAAUUUAACUAUGAGCUAUACUCAAAGAAAAACAAGGAAAGGAUCAGAAAGAUAAAUUGCACUAUAGGACACAAGGAUUAAUUCCAUAACUCAAGGGAUCCUGCUUUUCUCAAAGAAGAUGAAUGAAUUGUAAUAAGGACACACGGAUUGAUUCCAUAACUCAAGGGAUCCUGUUAUGUUCUCAAUGAAGAACAUUAACUCAGCAGAAGUCACACAUUACCAUUUUCUUAAAGAAUUUAAUUAAGGUAUUUUCCAUUGGCUCAAGGCAAGAAUCCAUUUCCAAGUCAUUUGAUUCACCAUAUAUCAGAUAGGCAACUGUGUUAUUGACCACCAAUCCAUAACCAAAAGUCACAAAAAUCUCCACGUUGUCUCCUGAUCCUAAACUUGACAUUACGCCAUGCCAAUCUUCAUCAUUAAAGGAAAUUACUGCGUCAUGCUUGUGCAUAUGUAACGUGCAGUUUGUGUAAUUAACAAUUAAGACAGUAGUAAGUUUGGGUUCAAUGAUUUUGGAGGUUGAUAAAUAAACAACACACAAAGGCAUUCCCUUUAUCUCACGAUCUCCAGGUACAGUGAAAGAAACAGAAUGUCCCUCACCCUUAUGGGCCAACCAAUAAGGAUCAUUGUCACCCGGGAGAGAAACAUCACAAAACUCACUGCUUACCAAUACCUGCACAAUGAGAUGAAAAGCUUAGUCAAUUAUGUAAUUUUUCAAUUCAAACUGUCUUCUGCAAUUAUUAUUUUAUAAUUCAAAUUACAAAAUGAGAAUUAUAAUCAAAUAAUGUAACUCAUAAUUAAGAAAUACCACUGAUAAUUAAUUUAAACAAAUCUGGCUAAUAGUCUUGUGUAUAUAUAUAACACCAUCAUGUCCUUAGGACUUAGAAUGCAUUUCUGUUUUCGUCUCUUACAGUUUAUAAUUCUACGAUCAUUGGGAAUAAAACAAUUAUGAAGCAAGUAAAGCAAGAAAGUGGAAAUCAAUUUCCUAUUAAAUAGUAUAAAAAAGUAUAAUCACUUGGUUAGUUGAUUAUUAAAAUUAGAUACUUUUAGAUGAAGCUGUGUGAUAAUAGAAGUGAAGAGGUCUAAAAGUUUCAUAUUGUAGUUUCUGUCAGAUACUUCAUCAGGAUUAUUUAAUGUUCUCUUAAUAAUAGCUAGAAUGAUAGUGAAGGUUAUAAACAAAGGGAAAGCUAGAGAAGAACCUUAGAUAUGCUAUCGUUCACAGUAUUGAAGAGUUCAUUGUAUCUUCCAAAACCAAGGAAAGAAGACCUCAACUGAUGCUUUGAAAUUCCUGAUUCUGAAAUAUUUGCACCAUAUUCGACCAGAAUAGUUUUUACUUGCUUAGAUUGCUGAAACUCGGUAUCACAUUGCACCAAAACACUUCGAAGAUUUCAAAGAAUUUUAAACAACGGUGCAAUAUCAUCCCGACUACUAUCCUCCUCAUCCAUGCAAACCAAAUGAAUAUAAGAUAGGGGAUCCAUUGUUGGUGACAUCCAAGACCUAAUGAUAGAAGGAAAAAGAUUAUGUGACAAUCCCUCAAAUCCACUUAGGGAUAUAUAUCCAAUGCUUUUUGAGUAUACAAUUGAAAAAGGCACUUGUUUGACAACUGUAUUUUCAGCAAUUAGUGUUAUCAAGGAUUCCAUCUGCACUAUAUCUUUUUCCAAUAGGUCAAUCUUCGAACAACCAGAAAGAAUGAGAGUUUUCAAACAUUUCAACUUAUAUAUCUUUCUGGGCAGAUUGCUUAGACUUGUACAAUCCUUCAAAUUUAGCAGUAUAAGAUUGCAGAGACAUCCAAUAGAAGGGUGUACUUCGCGCAAUCUUGGGCAAUCUUUGAGAAUGAGCUGUUCAAGACUUGGUAGUCCCGAAAUGUCAGGGGUUUUUGUCAAGUACUUGGAGUGACUAAGAUUAAGGACUUUUAGCCACGCCAAAACCUUCAAGAAGAUAGUUUUUUGAUAAAAUAUUAGAAAAGAAAAUAAAAUAGUUAUAAAUGAAAACAAAUAAUGCUUAUUUUAAGCUGAAAUUGAAAAGAAAAUGGUACGUCAUAAAAACCUGGGGUUCAUUCCAGACGAAUCGAAGAAGACUGUAUUUUAAAUCAAUUGCUAUUGCAUAAUGCAGAAAAAAGUCAUUAGGAAGGUAUUCUGAAGAAAACCCUUGCAAACUGAACCAUCUCAGUUUCAUAUAGUGGUACUCAUAAUUUUCUGCGAAUCUCAGCAGGCUUGAUGUGUCUCUUACCACUAAAGGAUAACGGUGGAAGAAAUCUUUUGUUGUUAAAAGCAUUUUCAAAGGCAAUCUCUGAAUGGGCUCAUUGGAUUUAUCCGAAAAACAGAAUCAACUUCAUGAAUCCUCAGUAUGUGUUCAUCUCUCGUUGUAAUGAUUAUUAUAGUUCCUCCACUGAAGCAACGGCGGCAUUCCCAUAGGUCGAGUAAUGCACAAAACUCAGGCACAUCAUCAAGUACAAUGAACACCCUUUUCCCAGAAAGUCUUUCACGAAUCAUUCUUUUUCCCAUCUCAACGCUGCUUAUCUUCACCUUUGUUUUUAGGACAUCUGAGAGAAGUUGUUCUUGUAAACGAAGAUCCCCUCUUAUUCCACUAAAUUGUCCAAUAUCUUCAAUGAAACUUUUCUCCGUGAAUGUACCAUGAAUUUGAUUAUAGAUGGCUUUUGCAAGGGUAGUUUUACCACAUCCUCCCUGUCCACAUAUCGCUAUCCUACAAUCCUCCGUGGAUUUACUUUUGAUAGUUCUAAUCAGAUCCUCCACUUGGUAUUGUAACCCAACUGGAAAUUUAGUAGCAGACAAGACUGGUAAAUUAAGAAGGCUUUUAACAAUUUUGUCGACUAGUUCAGCAUCACUCCUUCAAGUUCAAUAGCAAGUAUCGAAGAAGUCAUGUAUUACCAAAAUUAAAUCUCAAGCAUAAAAUUUGGUCAUUGAUUGAGUGAUUUACCUGUGGUUGCUUUCAUCCCAUCCAAAUAAAUUUGCAGCUUUGGUGAGUGCCUGGCUCCAUCUGGACGUGCCAUGCUCCAGUUGUUGUCCUGAAAAUGUUUGGUGUGCCGUUUCUUUGAAAGCUUUACCAAAAUCACCCAUCUGAAGACGUACAUCAGAUGGCUCAAUUUCGUAAUAAACGGGCAGUUUGGAUGUCGAAGACAGCAAUUCCAUGGAAGGAAUUGAUGAGGUCAUGAACUAUUACAAGAAGAGAAAGCAAUAAUGCAACAAAGUACGCCGAAGAUUAAGACUUUUUCUUUUUAUACUUGUGGAAUCGAGUUAAGACCAUAAGAGACCCUUCUUUACUUUAGCAUUUAAGAUAUGGCUAAUUCUUUAUGCAAGUGAAGUAAAUUGAAAAAGUAAAUCUUGAAAAGAUUCUUGUAUUCUUAAAUUGUAAAAUCAAAAUCUCAUUUUGAAAAAAAUAUUAUAGAAUCAAAAAUACAUUUUAGAAAAUAAAUUUUGGAAAACAAAAUCCAUAAAGUUAUAUAAUGGAAUUAAAAAAGUGUUCUAAAAAUCUAAAUCUGAAAAUGUAUUAUAAGAGGUUCCAAAAUGUAUUUUGAUCCACUCCCCCUCUUUAUUUAAGGGUAUUUUUGUCUUUUCAGAUAAAAAUCGGAUGUAAGUUCAAAUUUCAUUGGGUGGAAGAAGUAAUUGCCUUAAGAUAAUAGGCUAACACUCACUUUGAAUCAUAAAAAAGAAAAUAUCAAUAAUUACAAAAAAAAUUGUAAUUAUAUUUUUAUACUUUUUAAUUUAAGAACAUUACAUUAUCUCUUCUUUUAUUUUAGUCAUAUAUCCCUUUUAAGUUUAAAAAAUAAAAAAAUACAUUAUAUUUUUUUUCAUAUUUGUGUAUAUCUAAAGAGGUCAUUGUAAUAUAGAUCACAACCUUCAAGAAAACACUCAAACUGCUGAGCACUUCUAUCAUACACUGAACGAAUUGAGGCCAAAAAAGUUAAGAGAUCCAAAUGUCAAAGGACUGAGCGAAUCCAAAAAGGUUGAGCGCAAAGAUUCAUUCACCAUGAAGAAAGCCAAAAUUUGCUCACGAAAGACUUGAAGUCAUCAUGCACCAAAAUUAGAAGGAAAAGGAUUUCGCUUGAAGCAAAGCCCAAGCAAAAAUCACUUCAUGGCUAAGAAAGAGAAAGUGUUGGGCUCAGGUUGGAAUGAAUCCUUGAUAGAUAGAUCCUUAAAUCUAAGAAUCCCAAGAAGCCCAAGAACUUGUCUUGAAGCCCAAAGAUUACUCUAGCCUAAACAUAUGUGCUAUAUUGUUAUUGUUAGAAUUAGUGGCCUAAACAAGAGGGGAAGUGAAUUAUUUUCAUAAGAUUUUUGCAAAGAUUGGAAAUAGAGUGAAAAGUUCUAAAUCAACCAAUUGAUUUUCUGUUCAACUGGAUAAAAAUUUAGUUUUAAUGUUCUUUACAGAAAUUCAACCGGUUGUUUUCUCGAAACAAGAGGUUGGUUAAACCAGUAGAAAAAGAACAAUUAUUAAAACAAUAUAAAAGAAAAGGGAUAGAGAGAUUCACGCACAAAGGUUUAUACUAGUUUACUCUUAACCAAGAGCUACAUCCAGUCCUCAACUAACCAAUGAGAAUUCACUAUGUAAUCAAACCUAGAUUACAAACCACACACCAAGAAACCACACACCAAGAGUGAUAUCUUGAACCCCUCAAGAAUCACCACCUUGGCAACACCACAAUUUUCAUAAACACCUUUUUGAAACUACCUUUCACCAAAUACACCGAAUUAUAGUGUUCAAAGUGAAGGAAAAGAAUACACAUGGGCUUUACAAAGUAGAAGAACAUAAGUAUACAAAGACCCAGUCCUAUUCCACACACAAGUGAUGAUCCAAAACUCUUGAACUCUUGAAAAACGUUUUUCAUCAUCUUUCUUUCUUUGGUUCUUGAAAAGAAUAUCAAAUAACCUUUAUAUAGACUUAAGCAAGUGGUCAAAGUUGUUAGAUCAUAAAUCAAAAGAAGUUGGAAUCAUUUAAAAACAGUUCAAAACACUUCAUAAAAUUUUGUUAUAAAAACAACAAAUUGACAGCAAAGCCAAAACAAAGCAAAGUUUUCCCAAAUCAUUUUAAAAACCACUAAGUGUCAAACAACCAAUUGUUUCGACAAUUCAACAUGUUGAAAUUUCACGACUUUUUAGAAAACACUUCUUUUCAAAAAAGAUAAAGAAUCAAGUGAGCUUGGAUCAAUACAAGGAGUGAAUUAACAAGUAAAAAACUACUAGACAACACACACACAUAGCAGCAGGGUCUUCAAGCUUUUCACAUAGAUUUGGAGACAUCAAAUCAUCUUGUUCAACAGUUAUUCUUUUACUUUCAAUAUCUUGUUAAUAGAGUAAGUGGAAAGUAUUUUUAAAAAGGGUAAAAUAAUAUUUUCCAAAUAUGAUGAGGUGCAGGAAGAAACAUUCUUAAAAUUAACAUCAAUAAAAAAAUAGUAACUCUAUGACCAUCAUUGUACCAACAACACAGGCUUUCCCCAAAUUUUUUAUUGUAUAUCUAAAGCUGAGCUUACUUAGAUUAUCCAAGGCAAGUUUCUCAUUAGAUAUCUAGUCAGCCAAAACGUGCAACAAUUUAUUUUGAAUGCCAAUAAGAGCAACUUGUUUAUUUUAAUUACCUUUUUCGUCUCUACAUUUAGAUUCAAUAGUGAAUUUAAUACCGUGGUUUUUAAAAAAAUCAAUUUGAUUCCUAAGUUUUUUAAAAUGUAUUCAAAAUAAUCAUUUCUGUUAAAUUUUUACCAACGACAUUAACAGUUGAUGACGUGGCACACAGUAUAUAAGUCUAGGCACGUGACAUAUACGUGUCACAUAAGACGUUGAGACUAUAGUCUUUUACCGUUCAACCUUGCGCCGGUCACAUUCACCGCCAUUCAGAUGAUUUUUGGAGUAACCGUGGCUAUCAUACUUGGAGGCAAGGAAUCUCACCAAGGAGGAGUACGUCGCGAAUCAUCCCGUCGGCAAGAUCGGGAAGAGUCUCAUCUUUAAGGUCCUUUUUUUAUUCAUUUGUAUCUGUGUUUGAAGGAUUUGUAUAAAACAAGAAGGAUUAAAAAACAAAGCAAAUGUGAAGGCCAAGAGUAUGAAGAAAAGUUUAGGUAGUUUGGUGAGUUGUUCCACUGUGUAGUGUAAGAGAAAGAGAGAGAUAGUGACUCUGAUUCACUCGCCAAACCAUCUGCACAACAUAAUUCAUUAUACAGAUCGCUCUUUCCUCAUUUCUCCCUUAACGGACAAAUAUACCCCUCCCCUCUCCAUAUCAUUUAUAUAAUUCAUUCAUAUUAAAAUAAUAAUCUACAUCUAUAUUAUUUUUCUAAAGUGAAAUGGGUGCUGCAAUUCACGAGCUUCCACGACUAUGAAAAAUAAAUGUAUCUUUGGCUACUUUGAAUGGUUUUGUGUCUUUUUGACUGUGUUGCAUUAUUGCUUUCUCUUCUUCUAACAGUUGACCUCAUCAAUUUCUUCCAUGGAAUCGUCAUCUUCAUUAUCAAAUCUGCCACGGAUGUACGAUGUGCUUAUCAACUUUAAUGGAGAAGACAUCCAAAGGACAUUUGUUUCUCAUCUCGAUUCUGACCUCUCUGCUGUUGGCCUCACCACCUUCCUUCACCACCCCAAUGCAGUCAAUCCAACGCACAUCCAACAACCUAUUCUCAAUCUCUGUCGGGUAGC